UUUUUUUUUUUAGUUUUAGCUUUAGAACGUGGAAGUUGACCCUUUUUCAUAAAUAACUUCAUGUGGAAAAGUAUUCUUUCGAGGGAAACAAGAUCAAGAAUUCGCAUUAGUAGUUGGCAGUGAUAAUAUAAUAAGUUUGAAUUUUAUACCAGCUAGCAGGACUUCCAGAAAUUCGUUAGAGGAACUGCGACAGCCUUAACAAAUAUUAUUUUUCUUAUUCCUUUCUGGUUUUUGACAAGAAUAGUAGAGAAUCUCAAUCCUUCUACUGUCGCAGUACCUGUAGUAGAGCAACCGCUCCCUCAAACUUCAGAGAACAUGGAAAUGAAUGGCUGUUUUGGUUGAAGGUUACUCCAAGAACAAUUGUUUCAUACUAGAAGGGAGGGCGCGCCUUGCUACACCCGCUCCAUUAUAAAUGGCAAAGAACAAAAGUUUGGUUGGUGGAGAAAUCAGAAACAUAUUCAACCUCAAAGGCUUCCAAGGAAAUCAGAAACAUAUUCAACCGUCGAUGUCUUCGGAGUCAAAGUCGAGCAUGUCGGUUAAAUCGUCGACAAUAGCUACUAAGUGGGUGGUGGGUGGGCGGCGAAUUUCUUCGUCAUCCGCAUCCCAAUCCUGCCGUCCAUAGUUCGGCCAGGACUCUCCUGGCAAGGAGAGAGACCUUAAUGAGUUCAGUAUGUCGCCAAAGGGCGAGUGCUAAAAGAUAUCCGCGGCGGUGAACUCCAUGAUCGGCGCCCAGUUAGAUUUGACAGGCACGGGCGCAGGCGGUUCGGAGUCCGUGGCCGGGGAAAAGUCUGGCAGUUUGGCGUCAUGGCUCUCGUGAAGGGUAAGGUCGAUACUCGGAUCGAUCGCCGCUGAGAAUGCGGCCUCCAUGGCGGGGUCUAUCCACCCGUCCAUGGAUGGCGCAAUUGGCUCCGAAUUGAGGGUCGGAGCGGUUGCCGGUGCGGUCUCCUGAACACUGGCCGAUGGUAGAGCUAAAUCAUGCUUAUCGUGACCGUGCGGCACACUUGGCAGGGGCUCGAAUCCGUUGAAGAUCAAGUCUCCUCGGAUGUCGGCUGUGUAGUUUAAGCUUCCAAACCUGACCUGGUGGCCAGGGGCGUAACUCCCGAUCUGCUCCAGAUGGCCAAGCGAGUUGGCCCCCAGUGCGAAGCCGCCGAAUACGAAGAUCUGUCCGGGGAGAAAAGUCUCACCCUGGACUGCAUCGCUAUCGAUGAUUGAAGGGGCCAUCCAGCCUAACGAUGACAACACAGAGGAACUCUCAAUGAAAGCACCAAUGUUGGUGUCAAAACCGGCGGAUCUCGGGUAGGGGGUCCCGAACUGUGCAUCUAGGCGGAUGGUAACAGGAGGCAGGGGACACGAUGUUUACCCAGGUUCGGGCCCUCUUGAUGGAGGUAAUACCCUACGUCCUGCUUGAUUGUUCUUGAUAAUAUAAGUAGUACAAGAGUUGAUCUACCACGAGAUCAGAGAGGCUAAACCCUAGAAGCUAGCCUAUGGUAUGAUUGUAUGUUCUUGGUCCUACGGACUAAACCCUCCGGUUUAUAUAGACACCGGAGGGGGCCAGGGUUACACAGAGUCGGUUACAAGGAAGGAGAUCUACAUAUCUGUACUGCCAAGCUUGCCUUCCACGCCAAGGAGAGUCCCAUCCGGACGCAGGACGAAGUCUUCAAUCUUGUAUCUUCAUAGUCCAACAGUCCGACCAAAGGAUAUAGUUCGGCUGUCCGGGUACCCCCUAAUCUAGGACUCCCUCAGCCAUCAUCAUCUUGUGCUUGUGAUCUCCAUCUCCGAAGCACCGUCAUGAUCACCAUCGUCACCAGCGUGACACCUUGAUCUCCAUCGUAGCAUCGUUGUCGUCUCGCCAAUCUUAUGCUUCCACGACAAUCGCUACCGCUUAGUGAUAAAGUAAAGCAUUACAGGGCGAUUGCAUUGCAUACAAUAAAGCGACAACCAUAUGGCUCUUGCUAGUUGUCGAUAACUCGGUUACAAAACAUGAUCAUCUCAUACAAUAAAAUUUAGCAUCAUGUCUUGACCAUAUCACAUCACAACAUGCCCUGCAAAACCAAGUUAGAUGUCCUCUACAUUGUUGUUGCAAAUUUUACGUGGCUGCUACGGGCUUAGCAAGAACCGUUCUUACCUACGCAUCAAAACCACAACGAUAGUUCGUCAAGUUGGUGUUGUUUUAACCUUCUCAAGGACCGGGCGUAGCCACACUCAGUUCAACUAAAGUUGGAGAAACUGACACCCGCCAGCCACCUGUGUGCAAAGCACGUCGGUAGAACCAGUCUCGCGUAAGCGUACGCGUAAUGUUGGUCCGGGCCGCUUCAUCCAACAAUACCGCCGAACCAAAGUAUGACAUGCUGGAAAGCAGUAUGACUUGUAUCGCCCACAACUCACUUGUGUUCUACUCGUGCAUAUAACAUCUACGCAUAAAACCAGGCUCUGAUGCCACUGUUGGGGAAUGUAGUAAUUUCAAAAAAAUUCCUACGCACACGCAAGAUCAUGGUGAUGCAUAGCAACGAGAGGGGAGAGUGUUGUCCACGUACCCUCGUAGACCGAAAGCAGAAGCAUUAGCACAACGCAGUUGAUGUAGUCGUAUGUCUUCACGAUCCGACCGAUCAAGUACCGAACGUACGGCACCUCCGAGUUCAGCACACGUUCAGCCCGAUGACGUCCCUCAAACUCCGAUCCAGCCGGAUGUUGAGGAAGAGUUUCAUCAGCACGACGGUGUGGUGACGAUGAUGAUGUUCUACCGACGCAGGGCUUCGCCUAAGCACCGCUAUAGUAUUAUCGAGGUGGACUAUGGUGGAGGGGGGACACCGCACACGGCUAAAAGAUCAAACGAUCAAUUGUUGUGUCUCUGGGGUGCCCCCCUGCCCCCGUAUAUAAAGGAGCAAGGGGGGUGCGGACGGCCUAGAGAGGGGCGUGCCAGGAGGAGUCCUACUCCUACCGGGAGUAGGACUCCCCCCUUUUCCUUGUUGGACUAGGAGAGAGAGGGGAAAGAGGUGGAGGAGAAGAAGGAAGGGGGGAGUCGUCCCCCUCUCCUUGUCCUAUUUGGACUAGGGGGGAGGGGGUGCGGCCCAUGCCCUGGCCGCCUCUACUCUCUUUCCACCAGGGCCCAUUAAGUCCCCGGGGGUUUCGGUAACCUCCCGGUACUCCGGUAAAAUCCCGAUUUCACCCGGAACACUUCCGAUAUCCAAACAUAGGCUUCCAAUAUAUCAAUCUUCAUGUCUCGACCAUUUCAAGACUCCUCGUCAUGUCCGUGAUGACAUCCGGGACUCGGAACAACCUUCGGUACAUCAAAACAUAUAAACUCAUAAUAUAACUAUCAUCGAAAUGUUAAGCGUGCGGACCCUACGGGUUCGAGAACUAUGUAGACAUGACCGAGACACGUCUCCGGUCAAUAACCAAUAGCGGAACCUGGAUGUUCAUAUUGGAUCCCACAUAUUCUACGAAGAUCUUUAUCGGUUAGACCGCAUAACAACAUACGUUGUUCCCUUUGUCAUAGGUAUGUUACUUGCCCGAGAUUCGAUCGUCGGUAUCUCAAUACCUAGUUCAAUCUCGUUACCGGCAAGUCUCUUCACUCGUUAUGUAAUACAUCAUCCCGCAACUAACUCAUUAGUUGCAAUGCUUGCAAGGCUUAAGUGAUGUGCAUUACCGAGAGGGCCCAGAGAUACCUCUCUGACAAUCGGAGUGACAAAUCCUAAUCUCGAAAUACGCCAACCCAACAAGUACCUUCGGAGACACCUGUAGAGCACCUUUAUAAUCACCCAGUUACGUUGUGACGUUUGGUAGCACACAAAGUGUUCCUCCGGUAAACCGGAGUUCCAUAAUCUCAGUCAUAGGAACAUGUAUAAGUCAUGAAGAAAGCAAUAGCAACAUACUAAACGAUUGUGUGCUAAGCUAAUGGAAUGGGUCAAGUCAAUUACAUCAUUCUCUUAAUGAUGUGAUCUCAUUAAUCAAACGACAACUCUUUGUCUAUAGUUAGGAAACUUAACCAUCUCUGAUCAACGAGCUAGUCAAGUAGAGGCAUACUAGUGACAUACUGUUUGUCUAUGUAUUAACACAUGUAUUAUGUUUCCGGUUAAUACAAUUAUAGCAUGAAUAAUUAACAUUUAUCAUGAUAUAAGGAAAUAAAUAAUAACUUUAUUAUUUCCUCAAGGGCAUAUUUCCAUCAAAUACAGUAGGUUUAACACCAAUAUAAAUAAAGAAUGAGUUCAUUACAGUACCUUGAAGUGGUGAUUUGUUUUCUUUCGCUAACGGAGCUCACGAGUUUUCUGUUAAGUUUUGUGUUGUGAAGUUUUCAAGUUUUGGGUAAAGAUUCGAUGGACUAUGGAAUAAAGAGUGGAAAGAGCCUAAGCUUGGGGAUGCCCAAGGCACCCCAAGGUAAUAUCCAAGGACAAGCAAGAGCCUAAGCUUGGGGAUGCCCCGGAAGGCAUCCCCUCUUUCGUCUUUGUUCAUCGGUAACUUUACUUGGAGCUAUAUUUUUAUUUACCACAUGAUAUGUGUUUUGCUUGGAGCGUCAUUUUAGUUUAUUUAGUUUUGCUUGUUGUUUGAAUAAAAUACCAAGAUAUGAAAUUCUUAAAUGUUAGAGAUUCUUCACAUAGUUGCAUAAUUAUUCGUAUACUCAUUGAUCUUCACUUAUAUCUUCGUAGUUUGUCAUUUGCUCUAGUGCUUCACUUAUAUCCUUUUAGAGCACGGUGGUGGUUUUAUUUUAUAGAAAUAGAUGAACUCUCAUGCUUCACUUAUAUUAUUUUGAGAGUCUUUACAACAGCAUGGUAGUUUGCUUUGGUUAUGAAUUUAGUCCUAAUAUGAUGGGCAUCCAAGUGGGAUAUAAUAAAAACUUUCAUAUGAAGUGCAUUGAAUACUAAGAGAAGUUUGAUACUUGAUAAUUGUUUUGAGAUAUGGAGAUGGUGAUAUUAGAGUCAUGCUAGUUGAGUAAUUGUGAAUUUGAGAAAUACUUGUGUUGAAGUUUGUGAUUCUCGUAGCAUGCACAUAUGGUGAACCGUUAUAUGACGAAGUCGAAGCAUGAUUUGUUUAUUGAUUGUCCUCCUUAUGAGUGGCGGUCGGGGACGAGCGAUGGUCUUUUCCUACCAAUCUAUCCCCCUAGGAGCAUGCGCGUAGUACUUUGUUUCGAUAACUAAUAGAUUUUUGCAAUAAGUAUGUGAGUUCUCUAUGACUAAUAUUGAGUCCAUGGAUUAUACGCACUCUCACCCUUCCACCAUUGCUAGCCUCUCUAGUACCGCGCAACUUUCGCCGGUACCAUAAACCCACCAUAUACCUUCCUCAAAACAGCCACCAUACCUACCUAUUAUGGCAUUUCCAUAGCCAUUCUGAGAUAUAUUGCCAUGCAACUUUCCACCGUUCUGUUUAUUAUGACACGCUCCAUCAUUGUCAUAUUGCUUUGCAUGAUCAUGUAGUUGACAUCGUAUUUGUGGCAAAGCCACCGUUCAUAAUUCUUUCAUACAUGUCACUCAUGAGUCAUUGCACAUCCCAAUACACCACCGGAGGCAUUCAUAUAGAGUCAUACUUUGUUCUAGUAUCGAGUUGUAAUCAUUGAGUUGUAAAUAAAUAGAAGUGUGAUGAUCAUCAUUAAUAUAGCAUUGUCCCCAAAAAAGAGAAAGGCCAAACAAAUAAAACUUGGCUUGUAUAUUCCAACUCUAGUGCAUCCGUGAUCUGCAUGAUAGAGAGUCUCUUGUUUUGCCACUUUCUUAUACUAGUGGGAAAUUUUCAUUAUAGAACUUGGCUUGUAUAUUCCAACAAUGGGCUUCCUCAAAUGCCCUAGGUCUUCGUGAGCAAGCAAGUUGGAUGCACACCCACUUAGUUUCUUUUUGAGUUUCAUACACUUAUAGCUCUAGUGCAUCCGUUGCAUGGCAAUCCCUACUCACUCACAUUGAUAUCUAUUAAUGGGCAUCUCCAUAGCCCGUUGAUACGCUUAGUUGAUGUGAGACUAUCUUCUCCUUUUUGUCUUCUGCACAACCACCAUUCUAUUCCACCUAUAGUGCUAUAUCCAUGGCUCACGCUCAUAUAUUGCGUGGAGAUUGAAAAAGUUUGUGAACAUUAAAAGUAUGAAACAAUUGCUUGGCUUGUCAUCGGGGUUGUGCAUUAUUUAAAUACGUUGUGUGGUGAAGAUGGAGUAUAGCCAGACUAUAUGAUUUUGUAGGGAUAGCUUUCUUUGGCCAUGUUAUUUUGAGAAGACAUAAUUGCUUAGUUAGUAUGCUUGAAGUAUUAUUAUUUUUAUGUCAAUAUUAAACUUUUGUCUUGAAUCUUAUAGACCAGAACAUUCAUGCCAAAAUGAAGAGAAUUACUUAGAGAAAUAUGUUAGGUAGCAUUCCACAUCAAAAAUUCUGUUUUUAUCAUUUACCUACUCGAGGACGAGCAGGAAUUAAGCUUGGGGAUGCUGUUACGUCUCCAAGGUAUCUAUAAUUUUGAUUGUUCCAUGCUAUUAUAUUAUUUGUUUUGGAUGUUUAUGGGCUUUAUUAUGCACUUUUAUAUUAUUUUUGGGACUAACCUAUUAACCCAGAGCCCAGUGCCAGUUUCCGUUUUUUCCUUGUUUUAGAGUAUCGCAGAAAAGGAAAAUCAAACGGAGUCCAAUUGACCUGAAACUUCACGGAACUUAUUUUUGGAACGGAAGCAAUCCAGAAGACUUGGGGUGUACGUAAGGGAAGCAACAAGGAAGGCACAAGGCAGGGGGGCGCGCCCACCCCCCUGGGUGCCCCCUCCACCCUCGUGGGCCCCUCGUGGCCCCCCUGAUGUAUUUCUUCCUCCUAUAUAUAUCCAUAUACCCUAAAAACUGCAAGGAGCAGAAUAGAUCGGGAGUUCCUCCGCCAGAAGCCUCCGUAGCCACCGAAAACCAAUCUAGACCCGUUUCGGCACCCUGCCGGAGGGGGAACCCUUCACUGGUGGCCAUCUUCAUCAUCCCGGCGCUCUGCAUGACGAGGAGGGAGUAGUUCUCCCUCGGGGCUGAGGGUAUGUACCAGUAGCUAUGUGUUUGAUCUCUCUCUCUCGUGUUCUUGAGGUGGUACGAUCUUGAUGUAUCGCGAGCUUUGCUAUUAUAGUUGGAUCUUAUGAUGUUUCUCCCCUCUACUCUCUUGUAAUGGAUUGAGUUUUCCCUUUGAAGUUAUCUUAUCGGAUCGAGGCUUUAAGGAUUUGAGAACACUUGAUGUAUGUCUUGCUGUGCUUAUCUGUGGUGACAAUGGGGUAUCACGUGAUCCACUUGAUGUAUGUUUUGGUGAUCAACUUGCGGGUUCCGCCCAUGAACCUAUGCAUAGGGGUUGGCACACGUUUUCGUCUUGACUCUCCGGUAGAAUCUUUGGGGCACUCUUUGAAGUACUUUGUGUUGGUUUGAAUAGAUUAAUCUGAGAUUGUGUGAUGCAUAUCGUAUAAUCAUACGCACAGAUACUUGAGGUGACAUUGGAGUAUCUAGGUGACAUUAGGGUUUUGGUUGAUUUGUGUCUUAAGGUGAUAUUCUAGUAUGAACUCUAGGAUACAUUGAACAGAAAGAAUAGCUUUGUGUUAUUUUACUACGGACUCUUCAAUAGAUCGAUCAGAAAGAAUAACUUUGAGGUGGUUUCGUACCCUGCCAUAUUCUCUUUGUUUGUUCUCCGCUAUUAGUGACUUUGGAGUGACUCUUUGUUGCAUGUUGAGGGAUAGUUAUGUGAUCCAACUAUGUUAUUAUUGUUGAGAGAACUUGCACUAGUGAAAGUAUGAACCCUAGGCCUUGUUUCAACGCAUUGCAAUAUCGUUUGUGCUCACUUUUAUCAUUAGUUACCUUGCUGUUUUUAUAUUUUCAGAUUACAAAAACCUUUAUCUACCAUACAUAUACCACCUGUAUCACCAUCUCUUUGCCGAACUAGUGCACCUAUACAAUUUACCAUUGUAUUGGGGGUGUUGGGGACACAAGAGACUCUUUGUUAUUUGGUUGCAGGGUUGUUUGAGAGAGACCAUCUUCAACCUACGCCUCCUACGGAUUGAUAAACCUUAGGUCAUCCACUUGAGGGAAAUUUGCUACUGUCCUACCAACCUCUGCACUUGGAGGCUCAACAACGUCUACAAGAAGAAGGUUGUGUAGUAGACAUCAGAGGUCAAGGGCAACGCCUAGCUCGACGUGUGAUGAAAUAUGAGUUUUUAUUUGUUGAACUAUAUAUUUUUUUAUUGAACUAUUUGUUGAACUAUUUGAUUUCUAUUAAUUUUUUGUGAUGAACUAUGUGAUAAAAAAUAGAUUAUGUUGAAUUUGCGCUGAAGCACGGCGAAUAUGGGCCAACAUUGGUCAGUUUGCGCUGAUAGCGGGCCAAUUUUGCGCCGAAAGUGGGAUGAAAAGUGGGCAAAUUUGUGCCAAAAGUGGGUCAAAAUCAGCGCCUGGGGCGGCGGCUGGGAACCCAAUUUCCCCCAUGCCGAUUUUAGCGCUAGUUCGGCCCUAGGCGGCAAUAUUUCAGUCCCCGGGGAGGCGAACGGCUGGAGAUGCCUUGAGUCGUGUGUUGCAUGGUGGAUUUAACUGCCACCCACCCAAUCCAUCUUUAUCUAUUCUCUUUUCCUCGAUCUACGGCUACGUUUGCUUCUUCAUCAACUAGAGCUACACAUAUACCAGGGCAUGCCAUCAUCCACAUAAUCGGCUAUAGAAGACAUACGCCACAAUGACCACCAUGAUCAAAAGCCCACCAAGGUGGAACAUUUUCAUGUGGCAGAACAAGAGCAGCCAUUAUAAAUAAGUGCGUCACUACUCAACAAGUUCUGAAUUUUUUAACUACAAGGUGAACACAAAUUGCAACAAAUCAAUUUUGUCUGCAAGGUGAUCUUAUAUUGCAAGGAUAUUAUUUUCAGGUGUAGCAAGUUAUUUGUGAUGUGCAGAUCAAGCGAUGAGUGAGAUUUAUCUAUCAUGCAUGUUUAUUUAUAACAACAUAACUUAAAAAAUUACAUUUUUGUUGGAAAAGGAUUCUGAUGGGGUUACUCUCUAGAGACGUUUCAUUCACGUUCUUUCAGUCCGUUUUAGGCCAAUGAAUGUGUGCACAUUUCUCUGGAAACACAUAAUUUUGUACAAAUUUUUAUAAUCUAAUAGUUUUUUGUCCUAAUUAAUCCUUACAGAGAUGCAGUAGCCCAAUGAAUUUCCUGAUCCAUGUCAUUCAUGUUCAAGAGAAAUAACUACAUUCCUCAUCUAUAAUAUCUGACACUCAUUCUUAAAUAUUUGGCAUGUGUUUCCUUCUAAGCGUUUCUUGAAAAUCCAUAUUUUAUUUCUACUCUCCAGUCUUAUUGUCUCAUAGUGUUAUUCAUAUUUCUAUUGUGUAUAAUGAUUAGUUCGGAGAUAUUCAAAGUUGCAUUCCAAGUUCUAAUAUAUUUCGAACUCCUACUAUAUUUAGCAUAGAAAGAUCUUCAAUUAUUUUCAUAUUCAUGUUUUCAAAAUCACUAGACCAUGCGGAAGCACGGGUUGAUGAGUAGUAAUCCAUAAUCCCAGUAAGAUAGUCUGAGGAAUGAACACUGAUUGUCAAUGGAUCACCACUACAAAAAAAUACACUUCCGUGAUGAUACGUGUUUGUCAUAGUAGGUCGCUUUUUUGUCAUGCAUGUACCUCCAUGACAAAUUUAUGAUAGAAUCAAGAUAGUCAUACCUGUGAUGUCGUAGAAGUGUUCCAUGACAUUACCAAAAUUAUCAUCACGGAAGUGUCCACUUCCAUGACGAUAAAUCGCGCGUCACAGAAGUGCUUUCGUCAAGGUGACCGACACGUGGCAUCCACCGUAACGGAACGCCGUUAAGCUAUCGCGUCGGAUUUUGGAUCCGAUAACCCGUUAACAGCCCCGACCAAUGGGGAUUUUCCACGUGUAAAAUCAUCAUUGGCUAGAGGAAACACGUGCCGGCUCAUCAUCGGGACAGAUGUCAUCCACUCACAAAGCGCCUAUGAUACGUCGACACGUGGCACGGCCCAACAAGUUUAAAUGGGUCGGCCCAACUAAAUGCCCACAAGAUUUUGCAGACCAUAAUGGGCCGGCCCAGCUAAAGGCCCAUGAGAUUUUGCGGACCAUAAUGGGCUGGCCCAGCUAAAGGCCCACAAGAUUUCGCGGGCCAUAAUGGGCCAGCCCAGGUAGAGGCCCAUAAGAUUUUUGUGUGCCAUAAUAGGCCGGCCCAGGUAAAGGCCCAUAAAAUUCUUGCGGAUAAUAAUGGGCCGUCCCAGAUAAAGGCCCAUGAGAUUUCCCUGACAUUAAUGGGCCAGCCCAGCUGUAGGCCCACAAGAUUUUGAGGACCCUAGUAGGCCGGCCCGUUAACUAGCUGCCAUGUUUUGGGCCAAAUGUCGGCCCAUAUUUGAUACGGUCUAUUAAUGGUCUGCCACGCUCCGGGCCUAAUAGUGGCCCAUAUGAGAUCCGGCCCAUUAAAAGCCUACCACGUUCUGGGAAAAAUUACGGCCCAGAUCAGGUCCGGCCCUUUAAGAGGUUUUGGGCCUAAUUAUGGCCCAUAUCAGAUUCGGCCCGUCAAGUGGACACUAUGCUUUUGGGCCCACUUGCUAAAGGCCCACUUAGUAAUUCGGCCUGAUAUUAGUUUUGGCCUGUUAAGGGCCUGUUUAACAUUUCGGCCCUAUAUUAAUUUCAGCCUGUUAAAAGCCCGUCAUAUAGUUGGGCCUAAUUAUGGCCCGGUUUGCAUCCGGCCUGCUCGCAACUGAUAUCUGAUUGGGCCAAACAAGGACCGAGACAAUUUUUCGGCAUGUUAAAAGCCCGUGAUUUGAUUCACACAAUCAUGGGUCGGGGUUCAUUUCGGGCUGCUGCCGGCCCGUGAGCUGAUCGGCACGUUUCAGGCCCAACCUACAUCGUGAUUGCAUGACGGCCCGAUUAUGUAUCGUAAUUUUAUGGUUUGGCCAGUUUACUGCGAAGACAGGAUAUAUAUACAGUAAAAUAACUGCAACAUCGUGAAUAAGAAAAAACCUAUACUAUACAAUAAAGAAAUUAUGGCAUAUUACAUCCACUGGGCAUCAAAGUUCGCCACUAUGAUAAUAAAGCACAAGCAGACAACAGAUUACAUACACUGGGCAUCAAAGAUCGCCACUAGUGCAAUUAAACACGCCGACAAAAUAAUAUACAAAACCGACAUCACUUCAAUAGAGUUCAAGAAAGGUUAGCCCUGCUGGGGAGCUGCAACGCAAGCAGCUGAGCAAGAUGAUGAGACUGCGCUUUUUCAACACUUAUAUCUUCCUCACUCUGAAAGAUAAACAAGCAGACAGAUGACAAGUUUUGCACAUAAAAGUGUCAGUGCUGACAAUUCAUCACAUUUCUUACUGAUGAAUAAAGUGACACAGUUUAAAUUUGCAUUAACACAAUAUGGUAUUGUUCAGGUCAAGACAUGGCAGGAAAUGACAUUGUGAAGGAGUUGGCAGCUUCACGACACCACUGGAUACAGAUCAAGAACUCAUAAGUAUCAAUGGUUAGUGUGCUGUCAAUUUAUACCAUUUCAGAUUGGCAAAUAAAGAGACGGUUAAAAUAAUAGUAGAAUGAUAUGACAUUUUUCAUAGUUAAGACAUUGCAGAAUAUGACAUUGUGCUGUAGUGGGUAGGUUCACCACACCACUGGAUUACAGAUGAAGAACAGAAGCAUACAUGCAGUGCAAAAGAAGAUCACUUGCUCUGUAUAGUUUAAUUUACAUGGUAUGAAGAAGGAACUUGGUUGUACAACUGAAAACUUAAAUUGAGAAAGGACGAACUUUUGUUUAUGAACUACAUAUAAUAAACUUUAAACAAGCAAUUGGAUGCAAACACCAAAAAUAAAUAGCUGUUGCAGUCAUGCCUAACCAAAUAUAUACAACAAAGUUUGAAGGCUUGAGAUGGACAAACUUACAUUAUUGGUGAAGACAAGCUCUAUAAAGGCCUUGUCCAUGCUGAUGGGGGGCAAUUCAAGAAGUUUACAACCGAAUCUUCUUCAAAAGCAUUGCAUUUAUUCUACACUUUGUUAAGAGUAAAUAUAGAUGUGAUAAUAUAUGAAAAAAUGGAGAAUAUUUAAGAUAAGAUGAAGAGUGAUGCUACAUAACCAAGUAGCUAUAAAUGUAAGUGCAGCAAUACAGGCAAAAGGUACAUCCAAGAGCAAUGCACAACUAAACUUCUUCAGUACCAACCUUAUGGUAAGAGUAAAUAUAGAUCUGAUGUGUAGAAAAUGGAGGGCAAAGGAAAAUAAGCUGCAGAGUGAUGGUACAUGAACAACUACCUGUCAUUAUAAGUACACUAAUAAAGGACAGCAUGCACUUACAAGAACAAUGCAGAGCAAAAAAAACAUUGGCAUUGGAUAUAUUCUACACUAAUGUAACCAUUCAUACAGAUCAGAUAAUUUGGGGCGAACAAUUGAUAAGCAAGCUAUCAUGCAUACUGCUAUCACAUAAUGAACUAGGUAUGUAUGCAAGUACAGUGAUACAGGACAACAGGUACUAACAAGAGCAAAGCAGCGGGCAGCAUAUUUGAGAUAUCAUGUCGUUCUUGUCAAACCGGAAUUCUUCUUCGAGCAGAUUUCCUGCAAAAAAGAUCCGUAAGGCACAUGCGGAAAAGUAGAAGUUCAAAUUGUCAUGUGAUUUCAUAGACAGUACCUCAUCCUGGGAACGAGGCCAGUGCAUAACAAGGGUUUUCCAUUCAAUGUCUUCUAAAUUUAGCACAUGAGACUUCACCAGAAAUUCAUUUAUAGACUUGCCAUCAAAGUGUGAUUUCCCCAAGUAACACCGAUACUGCUGCAAUGCUUCCUUGAAAAGCACAAGCAAGCUUUGCUCAUCAUGACUAUCCAGAUUGACCCUCGCCUGGUUACAACAAUGUAAUGUAAAUCAUUGAUGUGUUCAAUCAGCAGAAAACAGGAAAAUAAUAGCCAUGAAUAAUAGCACUUACACGUAAGUUGGACAGGAAGAUGUGAAAAUGGUGUUUGUCUUCACAAUAAUCUUCCCAUGAUGGGAAUAUAUGCACGUAGUUCCUAACAACAUUGAAAGCAUUGUCUUUUAAACUGGGAAUAAAUGGAAUGGGGUUCCAAUCUGUAGGAAUUGGCCGUCUCUACAGUUGGGAUAGGUCUUCGGCCGGUGGACUUGCUGUACUUUUUGCUGGAGUGGGAUUUUUCUGUGGUACAGCUGGUGCUAUGGCAAAUGAAAUCGGUAUACCUUUUGUUGGAGUGCAGGUCCUGUGUGGUGGGGCUAGUGGUGUGGCCAGUGAAGUAUGGGUACAGUCUGCUGGAGUCGGUCCUACGUUUUGUGUCACUGGUUGUACAACCAAUAUAAGUGGGGUGUUGUCUGAUUUCUUCGGCACCACCAUGUUUUUCAAGGACUUUGCUGGUGCUCCUGCAGGUUCGGCAAUCACCCUCUUCCUUUUUGAUGUCUGAUGCACAAGAACAACAUUUGAGUGGAAAAACAUGGUAUGAUGACAGAUGGAAUAUGUAUUGAUAAUGGAUGGGCAUGGCAUCUCGACAUAUAUGAUGAGUAAACUAAGCAGAUGGCGGUGCAACAAAGUAGAAGAAAUGCAAGACAACAUAUGCAAGAUACCCGCAAUCAAUAAAACAUUAACAAAUUAGAAUAGGCACCUUGAUGGGUGAACAGGACAUGCCAUCUGCCUUUGACUCCUCGGGGUUAGAAUAGUCAUUAGGAUCAUAUUCUGAACAAGAAUCAACAGGUGGGGAGCGUAUGAGUUUAAUUGCAUCCAGAAUGGCACUCAAUGCCUUGGUGCCAAUUUUGUAAGUCAUUGCAGUGUUUAGCUUCAAGAGUGGACUGUUGCUAGUGCGACACAAAGCAGCUACACAGAUCAUAGUGUAGAUAUAACGGGAAAACCUUAAGCAUCAGAGUAAAAUCAGCAAAGUGGAACUUGCUGGAAUAUAUGUGCUAGUAUUGCCGGUACGGCUAGAAAGGCUUUGGAUACCAGCUCUCUUCAGGCGAAGGUGCAGUACUGUUAACAUCAAUGUAACUCUCAAAGGCGACAUAGCUCCCCCCAUUUCCUUGCUAUUCUUAUAGGAUUCAAGUGGGCAUGCCACUACAAAUCCUAUUCCUAUGUUCACAAGAUCCUACGAAUCAAAGAGGCUCAAAGUGUCCAUCACAACCGACCGUAUAGACCUCUACACUGCAAAUGUCCCUGCUCAUCUUUAGUACAAGGAACAUACUGUACUACUAUCAUACUCCCUCUGUUCCAAAAUAUAAGUCUUGGUAGAGAUUUCCACUAUGGAUCACAUACAGAUGUAUCCAGGUACAUUUUAGAGUGUAGAUUCACUCAUUUUGCUCCAUAUGUAGUCCAUGGUGUAAUCUAUACAAAGACUUGUAUUUAGGAAUGGAGAGAGUACAUAUUAAAGAAGAACGGAAGAGGAGCAUGGUAAAGAAGAGCAAGCAGAUUUUGGAUAAUAAAAUGUUGGUUGCGCAGUGCCCACACAUGAUGAACCAGAGUGCAUUAAGAAUGCAACUCCUAGCUGUCUCUCGACCAUUUCAGCCGGUUGGAUGAAGAUCCUACGUCUCCUAACCCUUCUUCUUCCUCGUCUCUGAUUCUUCCCACACAGAACACCGCACGGGCCGCCGGCCGGACCACCGGCCCCCACCGCCUGUGUUCCUCCGCCACCCCCACCCCAACCCCCACCCGCAUCGAGUUUUCUUCGUUCGGUGAGGCCCCACAACCACCCGAGCCCCUUCGAUCGCACCGGCGAACUCCGGCGAGCUCUGAAAAAUCGACUGACCCAAUUUUGAAAUUUAGUCUACUGUGAUUUAACUAGUGUGGAAUAUAAAAGGGGAAAAUCAUAAGCAUUGCGAGUAUGGUGUUGAGCGUUCCAUGGCGGAUCUAAAGGUGCAAAUCGGACAAAGGCAACUUUGCAACCAAGACAAGAAAUCAGAGUAAAGCAGUGGCGAUCUAUUUUCUUGCUGCGAUAAAUAAGUUGAGCAGAUACAAAAGAGUACCGCCUCUGGUGCGGCGCCAUGUACGCAUCUGCUGAGAAUUUGACAGUGCUGCGGUAGCGAUGGCUGUCGGUCGCGUGGAAGCACAUCUAGGAGGGUAGACGGUGGCGGCGGGGCACGAUGGACGAGACCGUCGUAGGAGCGGCGCCGACAAGGUGGACGACGGCGGGGAUGAAGCGAGAGGACGGGAUGCAAGGAUCCCGGUCUGAAGCCGUGGAUGAGAGAUGUCGAUCUCUUGUAAUGGACGGCGGCGUCGGGGUAUCAACUCCGGCAUGGUGGAGGAGGACGGCGGUGGAUGGGGUGGCGGACGGCGGUGGACGGAGGAGGGUGGGGUGGAGAGGGUGUUCUGGCGCCCAUGGAGUACGAAUGGGGAAAAGGGAGGUAGAGAGGAAGGGGGAACCAUGUAUUUAGGGCGCGCUUGUCACAAAUGCGAGGAAAUUUACAAACUUAGCCCCCGUUUCAAAUUUCUACUACAUCACAACAACACUAGUCGAUUGGGGAUAUGACGGUAAUCUCGCAUACACUGAAUAUUUGCCGACGGGAGUUUGCUUUUGGCGCCCACCGUGUAUGAAUAUGAAUUGGGGAGUGAGUCUAUUUCGGCCGAGGACACACUGUGUUUUGGCGCCCACCAUGUAUGAAUCCGGGUGAGAGGCGGUUACGUCACGUUUGGGUGAAAUUACAAACCUACCCCUAUCCAAACCUAUAGAAACCCAGCAUAUAGGCUUUGCGUGGCAGGGAUAGGCAGUAGUGAUUUCCAUCUCGCAGAUUUUGGUUUCGCGCGGUUACUGUGACUUUCCCCGCUUCGUUCAAAUUUUGCAGAGUGCACGUUUACCAUGCCAACUCAAUUCGAAUCCCGUUUGUAUUCUAUUUUUUUCGGGCGGGAUCCAUUUUCAAUUGGAAUUACAUUCUAUAUACAUCAUUUAUAUAUAUAUAUAUACUUUCAAAAGCACAACAAAGAAUUCUGCUCCUUUAUAUGUAUAAUAUGAUUUACAAAUACAUCGAUCUCGAAAUCUUAAGGUUGAAUUCGAAAAAAUUUAACCAAAUUAUGUUCUACUAAAAUGUAUGGAUCAGUAAUAUCUACAUAUUAAAUAACAUAGAUGUGUGUGAAUUCAUAUGAGUAUGCAUGUUUGAUAGAUCAAUUUUGGUUCGAGCAUGGAUUACAUGUAUCAUCAUCUCGAAUUCAAAUAUUUGAAUCCCUUUUUUGUUCACUCCUUUCACGCCCAUCUCUCUCGCAUGCAUGCUCCUUUAGGUAGCUAUCACUCUCUUUUAUCCAGCUCACCCGCACGCUCACUUCAUGUUGCUCCUAUCCUCGCAAACAUGGUCUCUCGACGUCUCCCUUGAGAAGUGUCACACUCUCCCUAUCAUUAUAAAUUACAUGGUUUUCAUUAUCUCUCACGUCUGUACUGUUCUCUCGUAUCACUCGGUACCUAAGCUUUCUUUUUCACCGCCAAACACAUAGUCUCCACUCGUCUUUCACUUUGUCUUUCUCUCUAUGGGAUUCUCUCACACAUCCUAUAUGUCUCUACAUAUGACUUAUACCACUAAAAUUACUCUCUCUAUCUCUCCUGUAGACACAACAUUUGUUGCGGUCUCCUUUUCGUCUCCAUCCCAGACUGACAUUAUUCAUUUGUUUACCGAUCAGACAACCCCGACUACUAUCUCCUCUCUCUCUCACACAGACACACACGCACAGCUCCUACCACUAAAAUGUGAAUGGAAACGAGAUUUUGUUAUACCCAAACAAAAAAGGACUGGAGGGAGUGAUUGCUCUGACACGGACGCGACCUUUCAUAGCGCAGGCAUUGAACCGACGCGCCAGCCAAGAGGGCCGCACUCGCUGCAGGCCCGGCUGAGCACGCCUCCUCGCCGCGUGCAACCAGCUUAAGACUGCCCUGCCUGCCUUCAUUGAAUCCGCGCGUGUGCUGGCAACACGUCCUUCCGCGACCCGGCAGGCAUUUUAGAACACAAAAAUGACUACAGUAUAAUUAAUUUACGCAUGGUCUUGACUUGUUGUGCUUGCACUGGUAGCAGGAACUAGUAGAGGAUUUUCUUUAUUUAUAACUCUCCUCACAUUUUUUUGGCUUUGAAGUGAAUCAUGGUUGUGGACAUUAUGUAUGAAUGUGCAGAUAUCUGUGAACAUGAGUUUGAUGUGGAAGUUGAACUUGGAAUGUCGGGCUUGCGCGUGAACUAUACCAUGUCCAAUGCUUCGUCUGUUAUUGUUUGGAAAGUAAUUGUUGUUAUUACAUGACCCAGAAAAAACAUUUUAUGCCACAUCAGUAGAUGCACGGACAUCACAACAGGCAUCCUGACUGGAUAAACAUUUGAACCUAGCUAUUAUGAAGGAAAUUUUGUAUUGACAACAAUUUUAGAUAGCAGGAGACGCCUAGCCUGCUCUGCCUCUGCUAUCUUAUUUCUGGCUUCUUCCAUCUCUUCUUUGGCUUGGGUGAAGAGAGCAUCUGAUUUCUCUUUUCGCUUCUUCAGGAACUCGGCUACAUUCUCAAGGGCUGCUGCACGCUUUCUUUCAGCCUUUACUAAUGCCACGAGGACACGAACAGCUGACGACUCCACCUGGCUUGUGUGUAAUCCAGCAUCAUCUGGGAAUUUGCACCUUGUGUCUAAUCCAUCAUCAUUAGGGAACUAGCACCUUGUGUGUAAUCCAGCCUCAUUUUGGAAACAUGAUCUCGAGGUUGACCAUACUUCCCUCCUCGCAGGAACUGCAUCCUGACAUAAGUUACUUCUUUUUUAGAUCAAUGCUCAGAGCAACCUAGAUCCAUUUAGUAGAAGCCAGAUAAACAGAACUCGGAGAAGUGAAUUCAAAAGGAAUAAAUAAAUAAAAACAGACUACAAGGUGAGAACACCCACUUCCUACAUGAAGCUAAAAACAAAAGCAUUAGGACAAUUAAGACUCUUCUUAUUACACAUCGAAGAACACCACGCUUAAGAGAAACAGAAAGUACAACAUAUACACAUCGAAGAACACGACGCUACACGAAAGUAAUUGAAAGGGUGUUACUUACCAAAGCUCGUUUUACAGGUUCGGUGCAGCUCCUCUUUAACUUGCCACGCUCCUUGAAGAUGUCCCGAAUAUCCUGUGUUUGAUCUUCAUUGCUCCUCUGCAUGUUCGCACUCGUGGUUUUAAAAUCUCAACAUGGCAAGAAAAAUAUACUACUAGUAAUACUCAUGCAUCUUGUGGGCAACAUUAAAGCACUCGUCUAUCAUGUUACAGCAUCUCCAACAAGAUAAACUACUCAUACAAAUGCAUCUUGAUGCGUGCAAUGCAUGGGCAUUUCGCUAGUUCUAAAAACCUUUCCAUCAUUUGCCACACUACUGGUUGCAGAUGAAAAACCUACCCAAGAACAGCGCGAUACAGGAGCGAUGCACAAUUACAAGCUGAUAUUUUGUUGCACAAUGGAGGCUAUAACCAAUUACUUUUACGGGAACAAUAGCACCCAGGAAAUUUGAAGGGUAGGUAUGAACAAAAUUGGAACUGCACAUGUAUUGCUAAGUGAUUCAAUACACACAUUACCAAUCGAGGAGGAGAACGAUGGUCGCGGAGGCCUCUGUGAGUCAUGGUCAGCAACGGGAGUCCGUUCAUUGUCCACGACGGUGAUACUUCUGCGCUUGGCGUCGGCUUCCAGGAAGCAGAUACGAGACCGUGGAAGACGAUGCCGGGGAAGAGGCUCCGUGUACGAUGACGACGGUGGACCGGCUCCAGUGCGGCGUACGAGGUCGUCGAUUAGGCAGAUGCGCUACGGUGGACGAGUGCGCCGAUGUAAAGGGGAGGAGCACGAAGGCUGUGGUGCCGUGGAGAAGUCUAUUUUGCAGUGGGGAUAGAAACUGGGGAGUAUUCAGGUGUACUACUAUGGGUGCCGGGGUGGGGUUGGCUGGGUAGGGUGAACCUGAAGUUACGAAAACAGCCCCCUACCAAGCGUCAUCUGUAGGCCUGUUCCGAAGGCUAUGAUGGUAACUUCCCACUGCUCGAAUCAGGGUCGUGGGAGAUUUUCCCGCCGACCUCAAAAUUUUGUGACACUGGACUCCCCGUGUGGCGUGUUGAGUGAUUCGGCUAAGCAACUAGCGAGUAGUAGUAGUAAACUCUGCAUAUUAGGUUUGACCGAAGUCAAACUUCCUAAAGUUUGACCAAGUUUAUAGAAAAAUAUAAACAUUUACCAUAACGAAUAUGUAUGAUGUGAAAGUACAUUCAAUAAUGAAUCUAAUGUUAUUUAUUUGUUAUUGUAUAUGUUAAUAUUUUUUGUUAUAAGCUUUCUGAGAGUCUACAAAACUUGACUUUGACCAAUGCUAAUACGCGGACUUAAAUAAAAACGGAGGGAGUACACAUUUGUUUUCUUAGUUUGUAGUGAACUAAUCAUUUGUUGAAAUUGUGAAAUAAAUAUAUUAGGCUAUUGACUUCGAAUGUAAUGGUCUAUACAAUUCAAUAGUUACAAUCAUUGUCGAAUCCCAAGAUGUAUACAAGGUCUAUAGUACUUCACAACAUGCACAAACUCACAUAAUCUCAGUCAAAUGAGAAUCUAAAUGCAUUUCAUAGUUAUUACUUUGUAGGAUGCAACAAGAACAACCAUAACUCUACAUCAGCCAUUAUAGAAGCAACAUUUUGACAUAUCCCAAUGUGUGAAUGAAACGUGUAGAGAGAGCUUUUGAAGAUGGAGCAGAUAGGGUGGGAAAGAUUGUAUGUAUGUGGACGAGAGAGUAGGAGACAAACCUAACGAGAUACAGAGAGAGAUACAGAGAGAAAGAGAGAGGAAGAAGUUAGGUCUACGAGAAAGAUGCAUACAUGUAAUAUACAUGAGAUGCGUGUGCAUCUGGAUUACGUAUACGUGGAAGGAGAAGAGACAACAUGUUUGAUGAGAGAGCAGGAAAAACAUGGACGAGAGGGGAAGGAUCUCGUGGGUUGAGGGAUUGACAAUUUUGUGCGGGGGAGAGAGGGAUUGGUAAUUUUGUGCAAGAGAGAGAGGGUGGGGGGAGGAGUCAGUCAGCCGUCGUCACAUCACCCUACUUCCAAAUGACCCCGCAUUCUCUAGCGCGGUGUCGCCGCCGUCUUCGAUCUGCUCGUUGCCCUCUUUGAAGAUUGAGGUGUUGUGCAUGUUGGGGUGCAAAGAAGCACAAGCGAGAGUGGUCGCCGUAUAACCUUGGAUGGGGAUGAAUUAUGUGCUCGGGGGAGUGUGUGUGUGUGUUGUGCGGCGUGUGUCUCUGUGUGUGUGUGUGUGAGAGAGAGAGAGAGAGAGAGAGAUUGAGAGAAAACAAACCUAAGGAGAGAAAUGGGUAUUCACGAAGAGAUUGUGUGGGCCUUGAGGUGGGCAGGGGCCGGGUGAGGGUGUCAAAAUGUGGGCAUUGAUGCAUGUGUUGCAUGCGACCGUGCGAGGGAUGGACGAAUCGAGAGAGAUGGUUGUUGUGUUACGGAUGCUCCUCUCUCUGUCUCUCUCUCUCUCCCUCUCUCUUUCUCUCUCACACACACACACACAAGUAAACUAGAAGACCGUUCUCUCAUGUAUACACAACAUAUCGGCAUUUGUCUAUGUCUCACUCAUGCACGAUCAUUUGCACAUUCACACCUCUCUAUGUCUGUAUCACACGCACACCGUCUCCACAUUGCCCUUCCGCCACAACACACAUAUGGACACAUACACACGUUCUCUCUCAGUCACACACACAAAAUCAGUAUUAAAAAAACUAGGGCGCACCUAAAACGUCCAAAUCCAAAUAAACACGAACUGGAGCUAAAUUCAAAUAUAUGGAAAUAUUGCAGCGUCAAGAACUUUCACAGGAAAAAGUUGAUUAAUAUUCGAGGAUUGUUUUCACACACACAAAAAGGUUCGGUGGAUGUCCUUCGAGCGCGACACGGUGACGCACCAUUCAAUCGACCGCGCGGCCGCAAUUCACGCGCUUGCAUAGGAUUCCGUAUCGUGGCUGUGGUACUAAGGCUGGUCACAAUGGGCAAGAACAUAAGCUAGUAACUAAUAAAAGCGCUGCCUAAGUCUAAUGUUUACGUGUACUAGUACGGUUUUCUUUUAAGUUUGACCAACCUUAUAUGUAAAACUAAAGUAAGCUCCCACACGCGCACUCAUCAAUAUGCCGCCGCCGCCUUUGCGCAUGCCGGUGCCCGCCUGCUCCGGCCAACAAUUUCUCGCCCAUCACCGUCGUGUCCCUGCCAUCCCUGUGCCAUGAAGCCGAAGGCUCGCCCGCUUACGUCGUCUGUAGUCCCUCUUCAUGAUGCCGCUACGCUGCCAAGCACGCGAGCAGCUGGUGGAGCCGCGUCUAUGCACACAGCGUACGAAGAGGAGGAUGAGCGCGUGCUACAGCAUGCCGACGAGGAGGAACUAGCGUGUCAUUGUCGUCUCUGCCCGUGCGGAGGAGGCGCGCAUGGUGGCUGUCGCGGCGGAAGCCGGUCGCGCGCGCGUCGAGCCCACAAACCGGGUGCGGAUGCGGAAUCUACCUUCGAGACCUUGAAUGCCACGUGGAUCCUGCAAUCUGAAGGAGCAAUUUGGGUCAGUCGACUCAUGUGAGCCGUUUGAUGCAACAUGGAUGGCUAGAAGGGCUUCUUCCACCUCUUCUGUCGUCUUCUUCCUUCGCUCCAUCGAACUUCUUUCACAAAUCGACUGACCCAAAUUAUACUACUAGUACGAGCGUAUUAAGUACAGUAGGAACACGAAGAUACGAGCAGUAGUACCAACUGCAAGAAGAACAGUAGUAAGACAUAGUAUUAGUACUACUAUACGUACUAAAGAGUUCAAAUAACGAGAAAGAACAUAAACAUAGUUCUGCUGGGGCCUCAGCACAACACACCCUUGAAAAUAAACUAAUAAGAAACUAGUCUGCUUGACACUGCAGUAGAACCAACAUGAGCGACGACACUUCCACCUACUUGGAGUCCGAGUCCACGUCCCCAACUUCGUCCUCGUCCCUCUUCCUCUUCCUCUUCGCCGACGCUUCUUUGCUUGAACCGGACACUGGGCUCUGCUUCUUCAUCCAACCCUUGUAGAUCAUUUAAACAAAGGUAGGCAUCCAUUGCUGCGUACAGGAUGUGAUCUUCAUCUAAUGUCUUCGACUCCCAUGCAUGAUGAAACUCGUGAUGAGGUUUCUUCAGUUUAGCGUACAAAGGAUCAAUCAUGGCUGCUGCGAAGGUCAGCAUUGAAGGUUGAGAGGAGGACACCAGGCUUGCCUUCUGGAGAUCGAAGGGCUGGCCUACAACGAGACCUAUCCGACGCAGGACGUCACUGUCAUUCUUAAAGCCUACAAUAACGAAUUUCACUCUUUUGUCCUUGAGGAAGUUCUUAAAAUCCUAACACUCAACGUCGGCAUGGCAUAUAUGGUAGACCAAGCAAACAUUAUGUACGCAAACCUGGAUCACGGCGGGCUUCUUCCUCUCUUCGUCCUUUAGAUCCUUCUCUCGUCCAAGGACUGUGGUGUACUCAACAUCUAGCCUAGCGACCCACUCAUCCAUUGAACUGUUGAACAUGCGUAGGAAGCGAGCAAGCCAUGCUUUCACCGUCUCGGAUCCACGUGUGUAGAUGACGAUGAACUGAUCGCCGGUGAUGGCUCUAACCUGGUACUCAGUGGCGACCAUGGAGAUUUGGGAGGCCAUGGAUUUUGGAGGAGGGUUAGGAGAAGUUGAACUGUUGUACCCCGCAAAAAAAACUGGGAGCGAACUAAUGUGAAAGGACGGGACGACUGGGAGCGAACUGUUGUAAGGUAGAAGACGAGGACAAGUAGGGUGUGCGAACGGUGUGGGGUCGCUGGCUUGCCCGGUGGAUAAACGGCUGCAAGCCCCCAAAGAGUUCUCGAGAACUACGCGGGACCCACUAGAUGUCAUGUCUACUAGACCCAUAUCGUAGGCCUGACGGUAUAGCUUCUGCCUAUUCGCACGCCAUGUCGGCGCGUGGAUGUAACUUCACUUAAUUCCGUCAAACGUCGCGCCUCCCACGACCUUCGCCUCCCUCGCGUGGCCGCGCCCUUUGAGACUUCGACCGGCUAUAAAUGAGCAUUUUUUUGCCUUUUUUAGACAAGCAAUUAUUUUUGCCUACUCCGCAUGCAUGAUACUCCCUCUGGUCCUUUUUACUCCCGUCAACCGUUUGCAAAGUGUUUGACCAAAUUUAUACUUUUUUUGAACACCACCUUAUAUUAAUUAACCAGCCACACCAGUACACUCAUUUGAUACAAUAUUCACUACACAUGGCGGUACGUUAUUUACAAGAAUACCAUCUAAUCUAUUGUCAAAGCUAUACUUAGCGAUUAAGUGUGCCACCUUAUUGGUCGAACGGCUAAUCUUUGACAAUUGAAGAUUGUUGAUCAACUUCGAGAUGCUCAACGCUUUCAUCUUCAGGUCACGCAUAGCAGACCUGUCAACGCUUUGACAGGCAUCAAUGAAAUCCCACGACCAAAUUUAUACUAAAACUAUCAAUAUCUACAAUACUUCCAAAACACUUAGGCGCGGUGCAUUAACUUCUACCUCGUUUCUUGUUUCUUGACAUAUCAACCAAUAGGAGAUGUGGGUGUGCAUGCUUUUAAUGACUUGAGACUACCAAACACGACAUGCAGUGGUUAGUUCAUUGCAUGCAAUGUUAUUAAUUAGCAAAUAAACAUUAAGAUCUCUCAUUUUCCCCUCCUCCUUGGUCACAGUGCACAAUCUAGGAUGACUUGCUCACCUAGACGGAGGGAGUACUGAUUAUAAUGAGUACUCCCUCCUUCCAUCUAUAUAGGGCCUAAUGCAUUUUCAAGACCGCCUUUGACUAUUGAUAAAAUUAAUACUACAUGACAUUCAUAAUGUGAAAAUUAUAACAUUGAAAGCUCUUUUCACAUACGAAUUUGAUGAUGUGCUUUGUGUAAGUUGCAUGGCAUAUAUUAUUGCUCUAACAAUUGGUCAAAGUUAGCCUCGAAAAACGCAUUAGGCCCUAUAUAGAUGGAAGGAGGGAGUAUAAGAACUAUGUUUUAUAAUGAGUGUAAAAAUAUUGAUUUGACAUUGUGAAUGUUGACACAUUGUGGAAUAGUUUUUGAAGUAUGCAAAAGUACUCAACUAGUGAUGUCGUUCUCCACAAAAAAAUGUGUUUACCAAUGCAUGCAUGAACUCUAGUUACUCUAACCCCCCCCCCUCUCUUCUUUAAUUCUUUGCCACAUCAGCAUGUUUGCUAUUCCCGUGUGCAUGAUACCAGCUAAGAUACCACCAUUAUGGCCAGCCUUAAUCAUCGCAUGCACUAAUUUAGUGCACCUUGAAAUAUGAACAUGUGUGGGGCGUGUUUGUUUUUAAUGACUUGAGACUAUACCUAGCCCGACAUGCAAGAUGACUUAUUAUGCACCAUUUCCCAUACCUGCAGGAGGCCCGUUCAUCUCCAAAUUUUUCCCUCUCCAUGUGUGGAAACAAUAUGCCUGCCAAACUCUCCUUCUCCCUCCGGCGGUCCCACCACUCCACCCCGUGUGAAAAAAUCUGCAUGCAUGACUCUCCUCCCCCCACGCUCAUCCAAUCCGUUGUGACCAGCAAUAUUUCCACCCCUUCGCUCCCCCGUAAUUUACUCCAACAAAUAUGCCCACGUAGUUGUUACUUAACUGCAGGUGCAUUUGGUCACUGACAUAUGGGCCCAACAGGGGUCUGGCCCACAUGUCAGUGACGCAACUGGACCGGCAGUUAAGUCAGUGCAGCUCAGUCCAUAUCAUACGUAGGUGUGCCAUUACUCGCUAUAAAUACUAUGCCUCCCACGACAUCGCUAUCUCCUCCCCCUCACGUUCACGUUCAUUGCUAUCUCCUCCCCCUCCCUCUCACGUCGACCACCAUGGCAUCGCCCCUCCCAAGCCCUAGGAGCCCCUCGCUGCACCGCGCGGACGGUCACGCGUCGCCGUUCCGUUCCUCGCCGCCACUAGUCGAGGAGGACGCGUCAGUGUUCCGCCCCUCGCCGCUACGCGACGCAUCGCCGUUCCAUUCCUCGCCGCCACUAGUCGAGGAGGACGCGUCGGUGUUCCGCUCCUCGCCGCGACGUGUCGAGGUGGACGCGUCGGCGUUCCCAAUCUCGCCAGCACGCGCGCCGGAGGAUGCGUCGGCUCCCCGCUACGAGGAGAACGCCGCGCCGCCCGCUGAGCCCCCCCCCCAGCCUUGAGGAGCUUUGGAAAGAAAUGGAUAUCGCCUUGUGGGAGGAUUUGCCUCCAGCAGAGCGCGCCAAAAUAGAGGCGGAGAAGAAGGCUGAGGAAGAGAAGCGCACCGCGGAACAAGCUGCCUGGGAGGCCUAUGUCACGUCCGAGAGAGUCAGGCAAUUGGCUCUUUGGUAGAAGGCUCGUGCGAGGGCCGUGAAGAUGGCGGAGGACGCCCGUGCCGACGCCCUGAGUGCAGUCGGGCCCAAGCGCCUCAUCUACGCUUGGUGGUACGUGGACCGGGUGCACGCUUCCAGUGACGAGGAGUACCAGUUGGCGCCGGAUCGCCACACCGGUGAGAUCGCGCUCGCCCGCCGGCAAGCCGCCAAUCAGCACCUCGCGAGUUGCAAGGCUGAGGAAGAGGCGUUGUGUCGGCGCGCUGGGAAACGGCCGCGCACCAGGGCACUCGUGGCGUGCCACAAGUGCUCCUACGAGCGACAUGGCUUUUAGGAGGAGUAUAAUUUUUGUUUCGUAAGGCGAUCUCAUAAUUUUGGGACACAAAUGAUAAAUCCCGAACAUUCAGGAAUUUUUAGCGUCCUUAAUUAAGUAUGUAAAAGGGAAAGUUUGGAAACCUUGUGUAUUUGUACGCAGUUUGCAAGUACGUGCAUAUAGCACAAACUUUACUAUAUACUAUCGCAGGAAAAGAAUUCUAUGAGACCAGGUCUCAUGCGAGACCCAUCCUGAUGGAUGACACGUGGCAUUCACAAAUCAUAAAGUCCCCCCAUCCCCACUUAAAAGCCACGUGUCAUCCAUCAGAACGGGUCUCACCUGCUAACCGUGAGACCUGGUCUCAUAUACGAGUAAUUUUUUUUCCACUAUCGCACUACACGUCUCUCUCGAUAUAUGCUUGCAGACUAUGCUACUCCCUCCGUCCAGGUCAAUAAGUCAUCUUCGGUUGUGCACCGUGACCAAGAAGGAGGGAAGACUUAUACACCUAGACAGAUGGAGUACUACUAUUACUUAUGUACGUGCAAAUGCACGUUUUAACAUUAUGAUGCGGUUUUUGUAAAAGUAGAAAAACAGCACUAGUCAAGCUUGUGAAACAAUUCAAUGCAAAACAAAUGCAAAAAUGCUCGUUUGAUUGUUUACUUUUAGCUUCCUUCUCUGUGGUUAUUUCUCUGUCGUACUUUGUAUGGAGUAUCUCACUGGUUGGAAAGGCAUGCAAAUUCCCAAACCGCUUCCUACACCCUGUAUUUCACUGGUUGCCGACAUUGACGUUGUCAGCCAUGUCGUCGAGGAUGAGGUUGCCGAGGUCGGGGAAGAAGUCAUUGUCCGCAACUAAUCAUGUGGACUAGCAUAGUAGUAGGAUACAGAGUAGAAACAUGAAUUUUACCAUGAUUUCGAACAGAAAGGACAGAAACACAUACGGUGCAAAGGGAGCAGCACCGUUGACGUUGAGGUUGUCACCCAUGUCCAAACACCACGUAGACAUGGUCUUUGAGCACGGUUCGUAGUAGUUCCACGCUCGGGCAUUAAAGUUUGUAACUAUUUUAGAUUAGAAUAUACUAAUCCUCCGGUGCUAGUAGUAGAGCAGAGUCCUACUCUACUACUCUACUCAAGCAAGUUAGGGCAUAGCAUUGUAGGGAGUACCAGUACUGUGAUCACUCAAGCAAGUUGUCUGGCAUCGACAUGACCCUACGCUGCUGGUAUGUGUCUCGUAAGUCAAGCGGCAUGCUAUAGUCAGCAUCACCUGUCCACUUCCCGCAGCACAUAUUCGCUUCUCCAUCUUUGUCUGCACAUAAUCUCGUCCAAUCUUCCAUCCCCGCUAAGGCGCCUCCCCCCUCGUCCGAAACCCAAGCACUAACAAUGGCAGAACCGAGCAGCGUCUGCCGAAAGAGUGGCUGGAAUUCGCUCCGCACAGAGGUAAUCAAGCUCAUUGUUUCGUGUGUGGACAAUCUCAGUACCAUGCCGCUCACCGCAUGCUCGUCGGGGCUGUACCGUUUACUCAAAGCCCUCAGGCCAGAGCUUUUUAAGCCAGCUCCUUGCUUGCUGAUGUUGCCUGAUCUUCAGAAACGGCGUGUCACGCUGCAUAACGAUCAAAGGGUGGCGAGCAUCAACCCCUUGACUGCUAUCCGAUCCCCGUCAGCCUCAACUACAUUAACGGUAUGUACUGGGUCGGCAUGAACACGUCUUGGAUGGUGCUCGUCAACGGUCGCGGCAGCUGGAUGCUCGUGGAGGUCUACACCCGGCGAUUGAUCCCCCUUCCUUCGAUUAACACUGCACUGAUUUGGCACCGCGGCCCAGAAUACUCGGAAUCUUACAGUAGCCAACAUGAUACCAAGUUUGAUUUGCUCAAGGUUGUAAUCUGCCAAGUGCCCACAAGAUCUGCGAAUUAUAAAGACUUCGGGCUAAUUGCGUUCUUCAACCGCGGUCUCGCCUAUCUGACAGGUCACUGCAGUAAGUGGAUAAAUUUGCAUGUCCAUCGCAGGAUCAUACAUCCUCCAUGGUUCUCUAAUGCCAUUGAACACAAGGGCUUCAUUUAUGCUGUUGACUCCUUCUAUGGAUGGACGUAUUGCUGGCCUACUCCAGUCAUCGCUACAAACGGCUGCUACAGCAGUGUUACUUUCCUAUGAUAUCAUGAUGGCUUGCUUAUAUUACUGUCAAUAUUUGCUGAAAAAUAUUCAUGCUCAUAACAUGCUGUUCUUAAGAUUGACUAAACCAAGAGCCCUUUUUUAUUUGACUCCAACUUGAUAUGAUGUUGUAGGCCGCCUGGUGUCCCUACCCUUCCUAAUCCUAGAACCUUUCAAAGAAAAGCGGCAUGGCAGUUGCAGGUGGUUCCUGGCUCGAUCAGACGAUGGCGAAAGAUUGAUGAUCGUUCGCACGUACCGGACGUGUUAUUUCGCGGAAUACAAUCACAGUCACUGCAAGGUCUUUGAGCAGGAUCCCAGCUUCUCUGGGCCUUCAAGAAUUUUUGACUGGAGGCUGGUAAGUAGCCUUGGUACACGCUCUUUGUUUGUCGGACUGAAUUAGCCGAUUAACUAGGAGAUAACCGACGGCAAGGAUCAUGAUGGCAGCGCGGUUUCAUUCAUCAGGAAAAACUCUGUGUACACAGCGUACCAUGCGUCUCUGCAUGCACCAUACCCUGAUAUGUGCCGCCACGCUCUACAGCCCAAAGUAGGAGAGAGGAUCGCAAGUAUCAGACUUCGACCUGCUAGCUGGAGUUUCCCCCGUCAGGCACCCAUCUGGUUCAAGCCGUCAGCCAAUCUCCACAGCUUAAUAAAUAGUAACGUCUAACUGAGCAGUUAGUUAGAUGCGUACACUUGGUGUAGUAGGAUCUUUAUUUAGUUUGAUUCAUACACUUGUUCUUUUUUGGUAGCCCUUUUGUAAUAAUGGCUGAUGUUUGGUUUGGAAGAGAGAGCUGCGUCUUCACUCUUCUGGCCUGCUUACUGCUUCUGUUGCACCCCCAGCCCUGGUUGCUGCUGCUGCUGUUUUCAAUGUACAAUCAGUACUAUAUUUCGUCUGUUGGUUGAAUAAAUGUGUUGUUUGAACGACAAACACAAUGUUUUGGAAGUCGUCGCACGGUUCGAUCCUUUAGUGCCCCGUACCGUACGUAGCGCAUACUAUUUAUCGUACGGAACACAUUUUUUUUUUGAAACUCGGAACACAUUUUCCACUUGUUGAUAACAUGCAACCCACUGAUGAAGGCCAAAUAGAGAAGCCCAUAAUUAACUGGAAGGGAGGCUCUCACAUGAAUCCGGCCCAGGUACAUGCUCAUGGUCCCCUAAACAUAAAUAAGUAAAUAAAUAAAUAAAUAAAGAUAAAUGCUCAUGCACCAGUUCUUUGGGAAAAUAGGUAGCCCAGUAUUUCUUUUUGAAGAAUACCCAAGCUAGGCCUAUUUGUUUUCUCCGAAUUACUGGGCUGCAAAUCUUUCAAGACGAGGAGGGAUGCAUUCCGGCUUGGCUUAAGAGUAUGGUCAAUGUCUGUUAAAAGUAAUAUCAAAAGGGGUUGAAAAUUCCAAAAAAAUUAUAGCAAAUGGGAUAUAAGUUUCUUUUUUUGUUUUUGUUCUUCACUGAUAUCUUAUACGUAUUUCAUUGGAUUUAACAUGACAUAGUACUAAUUAAUUUUUAAUUUGUUUUAGUAUGGCUAUUAAUUUUUGGAUUAAGAAUAUUUCGUUCCCCAGCAAAAAUUUUGCGAAUUUAAUUUCAAAAUUUCCCACAUAGUUAGUUAAUUUUUUGACCCUGGUACUGACCAGAAAAUGGCCAACAAUUCUAAAAAUGGAAAACGGGCUGCAAUAAAUUCCAUAUGAAUAAGAAAAUGAGUAAAAAUUAUAAAAAAUAAUGGCAAAUGGGUUGUACACGCCAGAGAUUUCAAGGCUGGCUUGUUUACGCAAGGCUUUGUCAGUGAACACACGAUUCUAGUAGCAGUUAGUGUUGGAUGUCCAUCCAAUGGCCGACGUGCUUCUUCAAUCUCUGAUCUUCCUGCUCCAGACGCCUAAACUAGCACCGGUGGGACUGCCUGCUCCCUCCUCUUGUGGCCCGUUGUGAUGCCGCGUAGGCUUCCCCGGCCCACCCUACUCCCUCUGAUGGCCUGGCCGCACGCAAUCAACUGCCUCCUUAUUACGCGAAAAAAAUGAUUCCUCCCACUGACAUCUGGGGCGCACCAGUUGGGAGGCUGACCUGUGGGCCUACUAAGUUGAUGUGUAUGCAGGGCUUGUCAACUUAGUCAACAGACGAUUCUAGCAGCAGUAACCGUUUGAUUUGAAUUGAACGGUCCUGAUGCUUCUUCAAUCGCUGCUCUUCUUGCACCAGCCACCCAAACUAGCGCCGGGGAGACCGUCUGCUCCUGCCUCCAGUGGCCGGCUGUGCUGCUGAUGAGGCCUCAUCGCCCCCUACUACUCCCACCGCUAGCCAGGCCCUGCGGCGACGGCAGCCUCACACCGCAGCCAAACCAGUGAACCCUCGUACUCCUCUCCGCGUGGGCAUCCACUGCCGCGACUUCCCCGACUCCGUGUCGUCCCCUUCCUAGGCCUCGCUGUCGUCCACCGCCUUGGUGCUCUCGGCACGGCGUGGUCAACGUGGUCAACGACAUUCCAUUGGAAGAGUACUGAACGUGGAGAGGCUCACAGCUGGGUCCACGGCCACAGCCCAGUUUUUUUGUGAUUUGCCAAGUAAGUCGCUUUGUCAGGCCUGUUGGGCUGCAAAUCUUUCAAGACGAGGAGAGCUUUCAUUCGGCUAGCCGAGAAAAUGGCCCAUCAGUAAUGAGAAAUGGGUUGUACAUUUUUAAAACACAUCAAACCGGCAAUUACUUUCAAAUAUCUUUUCUUCAUUUCGAGAUUUGAAAUUACAUUAAUUUUUAUGCGUGGAGAAUUUGUUGGAUUUUAUAUUGAUAUACAUUUAUUUUUUAAAUCAGUUUGAAUGUGAGUCGAAAUUUCGGGAUUAAAAACAGUUCGGACCACACCAAAAUAUGCAAAAUUUCGUAUAAUUUUUUAAUCGUGGCCGCAAUAUGGGCUGUAAUGCUAACAAAAAGAAUAUGGGCUCCAAAAAAACCUUAAUAAUUAGCAAAUGGGUUGUAAAUUAUUAGAAAUAAUGGCAGAUGGGUUGUAUGUUGUUUUCCACAGAUUUGAGGCUUUCCUAAAAAAAAGGUUGACGCACAAACAGUGACUGUUGGAUGGCCAUCCAACGAUCGUCGUGCUUCUUCAAUCUCUGCUCUUCCUACUCCAGCCACUCAAACAGGCGCCGGCGGGACUGCCUACUCCCUCCUCCCCGCGGCCGGCUCUGCUGCCGCGCAGGCCUCACCAUCCCAUCGUACUCCCAUCGCUGGCCUAGCCAUCCCUCUACUCACCCACACCUGCUGUUAUUCUCUGGCGACGGCAGACGAACCAGUAAACCCUCGUAUAGUCAUACUCCCCUCCGCGUGGGAAACAACUGCCGAGCCUUCCCUGCCUCCGUGUCGUUCCCUUCCUAGGCCUCGUCGUCGUCCACCGCCCUAGUGCUCUCGGCGCGGCCUGGUCAACGUGGUCAACGACCGACAUGCAUCUGAAGUGGACUGUACGUGGAGAGGCCGACAGCUGGGUCCAUGGCCGCAUGUAAGGAAAUGGCUCCUUAUUACGCGCAAAAUAAUGAUUCCUCCACCUGACAUCAGGGACCCACCGAAAGGGACUCUGUAUUUCGCGAAAAAAACGUUACCGCCACUGACAGCUUGGACCCACCAGCUAUAUCUUCGCACGCAAGGAAGUGCCUCCUUAUUACACUCAAAAAAAUGAAUACCCCCCUGCUAGCUAGGACCCACCUUGGUGGGAGGCUGACUUGUGGGCCUACUAAGUUGACGGGGACGGAGGGCUUUGUCAACUAAGUCAAUAUGCACGAUUCUAGCUCCAGUGACCGUAUGAUGUCCAUCCAACGGCCGUAGUGCUUCUUCAACCUCUGGUCUUCUUGCUCCAGCCGCCCAAACCAGCACCGGUCGUGCCUCGUGCUCCUCCUCCCGUGGCCGGCUGCGAUGCGGCGGAGGCCUCACCGCCCCCUACUACUCCCACCGCUGGCCAGGCCAUCCGUCUACUCACCCACACCCCCUUUUAUUCUGCAGCGACGUCAGCCUCACACCGCAGUGAACCAGUGAACCCUCGUACUCCUCUACGUGUGGGCAUCCACUGCCGCGUCUUCCCCAGCUCUGCAUCGUCCCCUUCCUAGGCCUCGCCGUCGUCCACCGCCCUAGUGCUCUCGGCGCGGCGUGGUCAACGUGGUCAAGGAACGGCUUCCAUCGGGCGUGGACUGUACGUGGAGAGGCUGACAGUUUGGUCCACGGCCGCAGCAAGGAAGUGCCUCCUUAUUACGUGCAAAAUAAUUAUUCCUCCACCUGACAGCGGGACCCACCGGACGGGCCACCGUAUUUUGCAAAAAAAACAUUUCCCCCUGACUGCUGGGACCCACCAGCUACAUCUUCGCACGCAAGGAAGUGCGUCCGGGCAAAAAAAUGAUUCGCUCCCUGACUGCUGGGACCCACCAGCUACAUCUUCACAGGCAAGGAAGUGCCUGACAGUCAGGACCCACCUGGUCGAAGCGUAUGUAGCGUUGUCAUUCUGGUCGCGAACGUGUACGUACAUACUGGUCGAUGUAGAGGCGCGCACGUGUCGUAGUAGAGGCGCGCACGUAGCAUUUACACGUACGUACAGCGGCCAGGGUGCAAGAAAUAAAAUACGGCCAUGUAUGUGCACAUACGGGCGGGGUCUCGAACGCCUACUCACGCAUACGUACGGCCAGGGCUCGUGUACAUGGCUGGGUCGGAACGGAGAAACAACGUUGUCGUCGUGUUCAUGGGGAGGCAACGGAAUGCGUCGUGUUCAUGGGGAGGCAACGGAAUGCAUCGUGUUCAUGGGAAGGCAACGGAAUGCGUCGUGUUCAUCGGGAGGGCUUGGAUGGAACAGGCGAUGGAAACGAGGCCUGGCGUACCGCAGAACGGAGGAAACGACCUUGUAUUCGACUGGCCACAUUCGUAACAGGAUCCUGUUCAUCGGGAGGGGUCUGGUGUACCGCAAAACGGAGGAAACAGACCUCCUACGGUCGAAACGGGGGUCCUGUUGAUCAGGAGGGGUGUGGCAUACCGCAAAACGGAGGAAACGGACUUGUGUUGGAGCGCUAUGGUCGAAAUGGGGGUCCUGUUCACCGGGAGGGGUGCGGCGUACCGCAAAAUGGGACUCCACGGGAUACUGUUCAUCUCCACUGUCGACCUCCUCCAGCCUCCACGGGUGCCUGUUCAUCCAGCCUCCACCGCGCGCUACUCCACCGGCUACUGUUCAACCACCCCUCCACCGUCUACUGUUCAUCCAACCCUCCACGCCACGGGGUCCUGUUCAACCACCCCUCCACGGGCACCCCUCCACCCUCUACUGUUCAUCCAGCCCUCCACACAACGGGGUCCUGUUCAACCAUCCCUCCACCAUCUNNNNNNNNNNNNNNNNNNNNNNNNNNNNNNNNNNNNNNNNNNNNNNNNNNNNNNNNNNNNNNNNNNNNNNNNNNNNNNNNNNNNNNNNNNNNNNNNNNNNNNNNNNNNNNNNNNNNNNNNNNNNNNNNNNNNNNNNNNNNNNNNNNNNNNNNNNNNNNNNNNNNNNNNNNNNNNNNNNNNNNNNNNNNNNNNNNNNNNNNNNNNNNNNNNNNNNNNNNNNNNNNNNNNNNNNNNNNNNNNNNNNNNNNNNNNNNNNNNNNNNNNNNNNNNNNNNNNNNNNNNNNNNNNNNNNNNNNNNNNNNNNNNNNNNNNNNNNNNNNNNNNNNNNNNNNNNNNNNNNNNNNNNNNNNNNNNNNNNNNNNNNNNNNNNNNNNNNNNNNNNNNNNNNNNCUAACUAUUCAUCCCAUCGAUCGGCUUCAGUUAGCAGCAGUAGCGAAGGAAUAGCUCGAUCGGGUUCAGUUAACAGCCAUCGAUUGAUCGCUCGGGUUCAGUAACGCGUAGCCUGCAGUGCAAUCACUCGGGUUCAGUUAGAGCCCAACGCCUCGCUCAGGUUCAGUUAGAGCCAAUGCCUUCACAUACGUGCGUACGUGUAUGAGAGAAACGCGCAUCGCUCGGCCCCCGACCUCCCACCGUAACCGGGAACUCCCCGAAAUUUUCCUCCCCCUUGCUUCUACCAUGGUUUUUUCCGUCAUGGACGGCCCAAAGAAUGUCAUGCAGCUGCGUCUCCGGCCCGCCCAGGAUGAAAAGCCCAUGUUUUGUCAUAGAAGUAGGAGCCCACCACAUCUAUGAUGAUACCGGGUUUUGUCACAAUUAUCGUCAUAGAAGUGUCAUAUGUAUGACAGAAAAAAAAUUCGUUAGGCCCAAAAUGUCACGGAUGUGUCUUUUUUUUUGUAGUGCACCAAGCUGAAUUAUGACAAUUAAAUCAUGGCCAAAGUUGACCAGAUGCUUCUGAAAAAGUACUAGAUAAGCCUUUUGCAUAAAUUACAGAAAAGUCAUCCUCAUUUUUUAUAAUGGAAUAAUGGCAAUUAACAAGUUAGCGCAUUUCCUCUUUUACAUGAAGUGAGUUCUUUAGAAAUUGAUACUAUAAUGGAGCAUUUAGAAGUUUGCUCAAGAAAAUGAUGGCAGGGCUUGAACAACAAUGUGGCUUUUAACAAAAAAAGAAUCUUCCUAUACGCAGUCCAGCACAAGCUGCAACUACACAUCUAGUCCUAGCAAAAUUUCAAGAACUUAUUAAAACAGAGAAGAUUAAGAAAGAAGCCUCUUGGGCCAUAUCCACUAGUAGAAAAUGGGCCAUUUGUCCCGGUUCCCGAUGCCCAUUAGCCCAAAACCUUUAGUCCCGGUUCGCUUACGAACCGGUUGGUAACACCAACCGGUACCAAAAGUCAUCCACGCGUCAGCAGCUGGCAGGAGCAGGGGUUUUUAGUUUUUUUAAAGGGGGGUUGGAGGGUUAAUUUAGGGGUUACAUAUAUUGUGUUAGCUAGCUAAUAGACAGAAGUGACCUCUCUUAUCUCCGUGCUUGGUCGACGCUAGCUACUAUACGUAUAGAGAGAACUCGGCAUGCUAGCUACUAAGCAAAUGAAGGAACCAUUAAGUAAACAAGAUCGUCAUGAACAUCUACAGAGAGGAGUGAUCGACCUCUCUUUCUCUGAGAGAUUGGUCGAACAACAAGUUUUCGUAUAUCUAUCCGACGCUACUAGCUACAUAUAUACAAUAUAAGAUCUCUUACAAUCCCUAACAUCUCAUGUCUAUAUCAAUUUCCACAUGGUAUUCUCCGUCUUUAUUGAUGAUGUGGUCAAGAAAGAAUCCCGUCAAUUCCUCUUGAAUUGCUCGUAUGCAAUCUUGUGGUAGGAGUUCAUGCCGCAUCUGCUAGGUCUAAAUUGAAGAAGGGGGUCAAUACAUGUAUAUGAAUGAAACUCAACACAAACGAUGGUAAUAAAAUAAAAUUGUGAAUAUUUUUGCUUACGUACCUCAUAUUGUUUUUCAGAGUAGCCCCGCUUAUUAGAGGCCGUCAUGUUGUAGACGAACUCGCAAACGUAGUAUCCACAGAAAUCAUUCCUGCAUUCCUGUCACAAGCACUUUACGAGAAAUAAAGGUCAAUCAAACUGAUAAGCAACCAUGCUAAAUGGUUUUGAUGAAACUAGCUAGAAUCAACGGGAGAUGCGCGGAACUAGGUAGUAGAACUUACUUUCAGGUGUAUAAUCACAGCUCGCUCGGCAGUCCCGGAGCAAUUACGGUGAACUCUUUCCAAACCCUGGCAGAUUAGCGACGAUAUCGCUAGACACCUUGAGGGGGGGGCACGAUUGGUUCGCUUGUUCGCCGAACUGGGGAAUUUUGUUCCCACUUCUUUGUUCUGCUAACCUUUUAUCACUGGAAGUACUUCCCGACCGCCGCACAUCUUCAUGUCUUUUUAAGAGCGCGGACAUAAUUGGAAUCCGGCGAAGACGGUGGUGGUCUCUUUAGGGCAUCAAUAGUGUGCUUCGAUUUCACUGGAUCUAUCGUCUCCUUCGGAGGUUCCUUUGCAAAAAAGUCCCUCACUUGGGAUUGACAGAUCUCCGUGUUUUCCUUCUCAGUCCUCUCGUAUGGUAACUUUUUCAGAGUCUUGAGAGAUGGACCGUAUCUGAAUUGCCUCCCGCCUCUAGAUGUACUGCUAGCUGCCGGAGCGGCGACGUCUCUCUUCCGUCGUUGCUUACGAGGCGGAGAAGGAUGCGGAGUGAUCCGACGCGCCGGAGGAGCUGGAGCGGCGGCAUCUGUCUUCCGCCGUUGCUGACGAGGCGGAGGAGGAGGCGGACUGCUCGAACGCGCCGGAGGAGGCGGACUGCUCGAACGCGUCGGAGGAGGCGACGGAGGAGGCGGAGUGCCGGCCUCAUGCGUCGGAGGAGCCGUAGAAGGAGGUGGAGUGCCUUCGUCACUCGCCGGAGAAGGAGGAGGAGGACCAAUGGUUGGGGGCCAGGAGCGAGGACCAUUGGUCCCGGUUCGUGUCUGGAACCGGGACCAAAGGAGCCAGACGAACCAGGACCAAUGCCCCCACGAGGCCCGGUCGGCCCCCUGGCCUCACGAACUAGGACCGAUGCCCCCAUGGGUCCCGGUUCGUGAGUGAAUUGGGAUUAAUGGGCUCACCCGGCCUGGACCAAAACCCUAUUUUCUACUAGUGAUCCAACAUAAAAGACCUAUGGAGCAGAUUCAGGUUGGAAAACUUUGUUAGCAUAUUGUUGUCUUGCAAACUUAAAAUGAUGUUAUUGUAUACAUUUCAUUUGUUUCGAAGACACCGUUUAGUUUAAACUAGGUUGAUAGCACAACAGUGGGAAAUGCUUACUAGGAAAAUCCCAGGUAAAGAAAAUGACAAAGUGCUGACAUUUUAGAUUCAAUCUUUCAUUUCUCAUGUAUACUGGUAUUGUUAUACAAGUCAAAAAGUUCUUGAGCAUACCACAUCGCCAUAAAUAAAUCAAAUGACCCCGCUUACAAGUACCAAGCUCAUAUUCUUAGCAGGUAUCGAACAAUAGCCCCAUAUGCGUCUGCGCAUGAAUUAUAAUCAAGAAGCAACAUACAAUUGCUCAACUUAAUCAAAUAAUAUUGAUUGAUAUUGCCUUCAUGAGACAUUAUUUGAUAAACUGGAUAGAAGAUGGCAUCCUCACUUCCUCGGUGAUUAAUGUUUCAGCUAAAGCACGCGGGAGGCAUCAACAUCAAACAAAAUGGGAAAUGUAAUUCACUAGGGUAAUUUAAUUAAUUUGCAAAGAAUGAAAUUGUCAGUUGUUGCUGGUGCCUCAACUUGUAAACUGUUGUUCCAACUAUAGUCUAUACUCAUUCAACCUAGUACUAAUUUUCAAAUAAACUCGCCCAAUAAUCCUAAGCGGGAAUAAACCAACAAAUCAAUUGAAUUUCUAGAAAAUUCAACAAGCAAUAGAUGUGAAUCCUUCAUGAUCUGGAGAGAUGGAACCGAUUACCUGGAGUGAAGCCACCGGAUCUGCCAGAAAAGGCUGGAAGAGGAGCAGACCGGGAUUAGGCCUAGCGCCUUGUCCAGGGGGUGCUCUUGCUAGUGCAUUAGUAGGUUGGUAGCCACCAUCAGUCUGGCACCCCUCGUAUCACCAUCUCCACCUGAAUUUCGCAUUGCCAAGAGGGUCAACAUUUUUUUUAGUAAACUGCAGCUGAUGGCACAAGUCAGAACAAAAGAAGUCGAAUGUAAAAGCUCAGAUGUGUUGGAAAUAUGAGCAGAUUACUACGAGAUUUAAUCCGAAUAAAUAGAAGAUAAAUCAUGACUACAGUAGCAAAGAUUAAACUAAUCAUGCGAACUAGCAUAGCAGAUGAACAUAUCACAUCUAGGGCACAUACUAGAAACAUGAAUUCUACCACGAUCUCAAACAGGAAGGAUAAAAUCACAUACGGUGUAACAGGAUUAGCACCACCGGUGUUGACGUUGUCGCCCAUGUCGUCGAGGAUGAGGUUGCUGAGGUCGGGGAAGAAGUCGUCGUUCGCGAAGUCGUCGCUGCCAGCAGUCGCGCGAGUGCUGUCGGUGUCAAAACCGGUGGUUCUCGGGUAGGGAGUCCCGAACUGUGCGUCUAGGCCGGAUGGUAACAGGAGGCAAGGAACACGAUGUUUUACCCAGGUUCGGGCCCUCUUGAUGGAGGUAAAACCCUACGUCCUGCUUGAUUAAUAUUGAUGAUAUGGGUAGUACAAGAGUAGAUCUACCACGAGAUCAAGGAGGCUAAACCCUAGAAGCUAGCCUAUGGUAUGAUUGUUGUAUGAUGAAGUUGUCCUACGGACUAAAACCCUCCGGUUUAUAUAGACACCGGAGAGGGUUAGGGUUACACAAAGUUGGUUACAAUUGUAGGAGAUCUUGAAUAUCCGCAUCGCCAAGCUUGCCUGCCACGCCAAGGAAAGUCCCAUCCGGACACGGGACGAAGUCUUCAAUCUUGUAUCUUCAUAGUCCUGGAGUCCGGCUGAAGGUAUAGUCCGGCUACCCGGACACCCCCUAAUACAGGACUCCCUCAGUAGCCCCCAAACUAGGAUUCAAUGACGACGAGUCUGGUGCGCAGAUUAUCUUCGGCAUUGCAGGGCGGGUUCUGCUCCAAAUUCUGUGUACUUGCUGAAUAACGUCUGAUUUUCGUAAUGUAGUGCACCUUGGCUUCCACGCCCAAUAAUGGUCGUCUUCCACGUGUCAAACGAAUGCGAAAAGUCAGGGUGUUUUUACAUUCACACCCCUAGCCGCAUAAAUGAGCCGCCUAUUUAAUGGGAUGGGUAUUCAGAUCCAAACCACACCUUCUCCUCCCGCGAGUAAUCAUUAGAGCGCCUCCAGCAAAGGUCCAUUCCAACAUGGCCAGCCAUCACAGUUCCUCCUCUCGCCCUUCCAGUCCUAAACCCGGAGACUGGGAGAGGUGCUCCAUCCUGCACAACGAGCUAGUGUCGCUUCAGGCCAAGGGAUUUCUCCCUUAGGCCUAAAUGGUCCCGGUCCGAGCCGGACUCGCCACCUAUAAUGGUGGAGAGCAAGCAGAGAGCACCCCCAAUCCCUCCAAAGGAGAGCGGGUGUGCCUCGUCCCAUAUCUAAUAAGAGGACUUGGAUUUCCAAUUCAUCCAUUUCUCCGUGGGCUUCUGGAGUUCUACGGCCUCCAGCUGCACAAUCUCACGCCCGGCUCUAUAUUACAUAUCGCGGGCUUCGUCGCCCUUUGCGAGCUAUUCUUGGGUGUUUAGGCUCAUUUCGCGCUGUGGAAGAGGUUAUUCUGCCUGGUGCCCCGCUCUAAGGAGGGGUCAAUGUAACAAGUGGGCGGAGCCAAAGUGUGGCGCAUCGUCGGGACCGGUUAUCUAUCCGGAACCCCAAAUAAGGCGUCCGAAGACUGGCCUUCGGAAUGGUUUUAUAUAGAGGACGUCCCGCUGCCGGAUCCUGUUCGGAUCAGCCUCCCUGAGUUCAACAGUGCUCCUUUAAAGAAGCGCCUGAGCUGGCGUCCACGGAGCCCUCAGGGGGAAAGUGACAGGGACAUCAUUUACCUGAUGGGCCGAAUAAGAUUGUUAGCCCAUUCCGGACUGACCAUGAUCGGGGUUAUGGCCGAACGCAUUAUGCGGGGGGUGCAACCACUUCAGUAUAGAAGCCACCCCAUGUGGGACUUCAACGGGGAGGACGACGCCACCCACUACGGCCGUAAGGGGCCGGAUUCGGCUGCCGCUCUACUAAAGAUCUUGUCCACUUUGUAUAAGGGAGAAGAGGAGGAAUUUCUCCGCGUCAACCCGCAGGGUGGAUUCUCUAUGCAUAAUCCACCAAGCUGGGUAAGCGGCCGCAUUUACUUGCCCAUCCGUUUUGUAUUCCCAUUGUUAAAUAUUUAGUCUAACAACUUCAACGUAGGAACUGCGCCGGGCUAUUAAGGAAACAAACAGCCCUCCUCCACAACCCGAGGACCCAGGAAGGUCCCUCGACCCGGCCUCUCAAGAGGAUCCGGACAUAUCUGUGGAGCUGAUUGAUGGAGUGUUCCAUCAAUUAAGCAAGGACAACGCCUUGGUGGCCAUUACGGCCGAUUACCCAAGGCUAAUCUCGGCCUCCCAGGUAACUGAGAUCAAAGUCCCAGUACCCUGAAUAGGUGUCCGCCCUCUCGUGUUUGCAGUUUUAUGGUUACAAUCAAGCUUUGCAGGGGAGGUUUUUGAGACGGGAGGCCGAACCUGCGGCGGCAAGCCAAGGAGGGGCCGCAGGGCCCCGUGGGCAGAAAAGAGGUGCAGUCCGAACCGAGGCGUCAGCGCAAAGGUAUGGUGCCCCCCCUUAUCCCAGGUGUUACACCUGGGAGGCAUAUUAACACUCGUGCUCUCUUCAGGACAAAGAGACCUCGCCGGACUAUACCCGGAGAGGCUGCCAACCGCGUCUCCGCCAGCCAGGCUACAAAGCCUGGUCCGGAGGCGGAGGCGAACACCAGGCGCGCACUGGACGCUCCUCCGAUGGAGGAUGUGGACAGGUUGUUGUUGGGGAACGUAGCAACAAUUCAAAAUUUUCCUACGUGUCACCAAGAUCAAUCUAUGGAGUCAUCUAGCAACGAGGGAGGAGUAGAUCUACGUACCCUUAUAGAUCGCGUGCGGAAGCGUUCAAGAGAACGGGGUUGAUGGAGUCGUACUCGUCGUGAUCCAAAUCACCGAUGAUCCUAGCGCCGAACGGACGGCACCUCCACGUUCAACACACGUACGGAACGGAGACGUCUCCCACGCCUUGAUCCAGCAAGGAGGAGGGAGAGGUUGAUGGAGAUCCAGCAGCACGACGGCAUGGUGGAAGUAGCGGGAUUCCAACAGGGCUUAGCUAAGCGCUGCGGGAGGAGGGAGAUGUGUCACGGGAGGGAGAGGGAGGCGCCAGGCCUUAGGUAUGGUUGCUCCUCCUUAUCCCCACUAUAUAUAGGGCCAAGGGAGAGGGGGUAGGCGCAGCCCUUGCCCCUUCCUCCAAGGAAGGGUGCGGCCAAGGGGGGGAGGAGUCCAUCCUCCCCAUGGCACCUUGGAGGUGCCUUCCCCCUUUAGGACUCUCCCCUUUUUUUCUUCUCUUGGCGCAUGAGCCUCUUGGGGCUGGUGCCCUUGGCCCAUAUAGGCCAAGGCGCACCCCCUACAGCCCAUGUGGCCCCCCGGGGCAGGUGGCCCCACCCGGUGGACCCCCGGGACCCUUCCGGUGGUCCCGGUACAAUACCGGUGACCCCGAAACUUGUCCCGAUGGCCGAAAUAGCACUUCCUAUAUAUAAUUCUUUACCUCCGGACCAUUCCGGAACUCCUCGUGACGUCCGGGAUCUCAUCCGGGACUCCGAACAACUUUCGGGUUAACGCAUACUAAUAUCUCUAUAACCCUAGCGUCACCGAACCUUAAGUGUGUAGACCCUACGGGUUCGGGAGACAUGCAGACAUGACCGAGAUGACUCUCCGGCAAAUAACCAAUAGCGGGAUCUGGAUACCCAUGUUGGCUCCCACAUGUUCCACGAUGAUCUCAUCGGAUGAACCACGAUGUCAAGGACUUAAUCAAUCCCGUAUACAAUUCCCUUUGUCUAACGGUAUUGUACUUGCCCGAGAUUCGAUCGUCGGUAUACCGAUACCUUGUUCAAUCUCGUUACCGGCAAGUCUCUUUACUCGUUCCGUAACACAUCAUCCCGUGAUCAACCCCUUGGUCACAUUGUGCACAUUAUGAUGAUGUCCUACCGAGUGAGCCCAGAGAUACCUCUCCGUUUACACGGAGUGACAAAUCCCAGUCUCGAUUCGUGCCAACCCAACAGACACUUUCGGAGAUACCUGUAGUGCACCUUUAUAGACACCCAGUUACGUUGUGACGUUUGGUACACCCAAAGCAUUCCUAUGGUAUCCGGGAGUUGCACAAUCUCAUGGUCUAAGGAAAAGAUACUUGACAUUAGAAAAGCUUUAGCAUACGAACUACACGAUCUUUGUGCUAGGCUUAGGAUUGGGUCUUGUCCAUCACAUCAUUCUCCUAAUGAUGUGAUCUCGUUAUCAAUGACAUCCAAUGUCCAUGGUCAGGAAACCAUAACCAUCUAUUGAUCAACGAGCUAGUCAACUAGAGGCUUACUAGGGACAUGGUGUUGUCUAUGUAUCCACACAUGUAUCUGAGUUUCCUUUCAAUACAAUUAUAGCAUGGAUAAUAAGCGAUUAUCAUGAACAAGGAAAUAUAAUAAUAACUAAUUUAUUAUUGCCUCUAGGGCAUAUUUCCAACAGUCUCCCACUUGCACUAGAGUCAAUAAUCUAGUUCACAUUGCCAUGUGAUUAACACUGUCAGGUCACAUCGCCAUGUGACCAACAUCCAAAGAGUUUACUAGUGUCAUUAAACUAGUUCACAUCAUCAUGUGAUUAAGACUCAAUGAGUUCUGGGGUUUGAUCAUGUUUUUCCUUGUAAGAGAGGUUUUAGUCAACGGGUCUGCAACAUUCAGAUUCAUAUGUACUUCGCAAAUCUCUAGGUCAUAUUGUAAAUGUUGCUUCCACGCUUCACUUGGAGCUAUUCCAAAUGGUUGUUCCACUAUACGUAUCCAUUUUGCUACUCAGAGUCACUCGGAUAGGUGUUAAAGCUUGCAUCAACGUAACCCUUUACGCCGAAUUCUUUAUCACCUCCAUAAUCGAGAAACAUAUCCUUAUUCCUCUAAGGAUAACUUUGACCGCUAUCUGAUGAUCCACUCCUUGAUCACCUUUGUACUCUCUUGCCAGACAUGUGGCAAGGCACACAUCAGGUGCGGUACUUAGCAUAGCAUACUGUAGAUCCUACGUCUGAAGCAUAGGGGACGACCUUCGUCCUUUCUCUCUUUUCUGCCGUGGUCGAGCUUUAAGUCUUAACUUCAUACCUUACAACUCAGGCAAGAACUCCUUCUUUGACUGAUCCAUCUUGAACACCUUCAAGAUCAUGUCAAGGUAUGUGCUCAUUUGAAAGUAUUAUUAAGCAUUUUGAUCUAUCAUUAUAGAUCUUGAUGCUCAAUGUUCAAGUAGCUUAAUCCAGGUUUUCUAUUGAAAAACACCUUUCAAAUAACCCUAUAUGCUUUCUAGAAAAUCAUUUCUGAUCAUCAACAUGUCAACAACAUAUACUCAUCAGAAAUUCUAUAGUGCUCCCACUCACUUCUUUGGAAAUACAAGUUUCUCAUAAACUUUGUAUAAACCCAAAAUCUUUGAUCAUCUUAUCAAAGUGCACAUUCCAACUCCGAGAUGCUUACUCCAGUCCAUGGAAGGAUCGCUAGAGCUAGCAUACCUUUUAGCAUCCUUAGGAUCGACAAAAACUUUUUGAUUAUAUUACAUACAACCUUUCCUUACGAAAACUGGUAAGGAAACUCGUCUUGACAUCCAUCUGCCAGAUUUCAUAAAUGCAGCUAAUGCUAACAUGAUUCCGAUGGACUUAAGCAUCGCUACGGAUGAGAAAAUCUCAUCGUAGUCAACUCCUUGAACUUGUGAAAAACUCUUCGCCACAAGUCGAGCUUCAUAGACGGUGACAUUACCGUCCAUGUCCGUCUUCUUCUUAAAGAUCCACUUAUCUCAAUGGCUUGCCGAUCAUCGGGCAAGUCCACCAAAGUCCAUGCUUUGUUUUGAUACAGGGAUCCUAUCUCGGAUUUCAUGGCUUCUAACCAUUUGUCGGAAUUUGGGCCCACCAUCGCUUCUCCAUAGCUCAUAGGUUCAUUGUUGUCUAGCAACAUGACUUUCAAGACAGGGUCACCGUACCACUCCGAAUCAGUACGUGUCCUUGUCGUCCUACGAGGCACGGUAGUGACUUGAUCCAAAACUUCAUGAUCACUAUCAUAAGCUUCCACUUCAAUUGGUGUAGGUGCCACAGGAACAACUUCCUGUGCCCUGAUACACACUGGUUGAAGUGAUGGUUCAAUAACCUCAUCAAGUCUCCACCAUCCUCCCACUCAACUUUUCGAGACGAACUUUUCCUCGAGAAAGGACCCGAUUCAAGAAACAAUCCCUAUUGCUUUCGGAUCUGAAUUAGGAGGUAUACCCAACUGUUUUGGGUGUCCUAUGAAGAUGUAUUUUAUCCGCUUUGGGUUCGAGCUUAUCAAUCCUGAAACUUUUUCACAUAAGCGUCGCAGCCCCAAACCUUUAAGAAAUGACAACUUAGGUUUCUUUAAACCAUAAUUCAUACGGUGUCAUCUCAACGGAAUUAUGUGGUGCCCUAUUUAAAGUGAGUGCGGUUGUCUCUAAUGCCUAACCCAUGAACAAUAGUGGUAAUUCGAUAAGAGACAUCAUGGUACGCACCAUAUCCAAUAGGGUGCAACUAUGAUGUUCGGACACACCAUCAAACUAUGGUGUUCCAGGCGGUAUUAAUUGCGAAACAAUUUCCACAAUGUCUUAAUUGUGUGCCAAAGCUCGUAACUCAGAUACUCAUCUCUAUGAUCUUAUCAUAGACAUUUUAUCCUCUUGUCACGAUGAUCUUCAACUUCACUCUGAAAUUACUUGAACCAUUCAAUAAUUCAGACUUGUGUUUCAUCAAGUAAAUAUAUUCAACAUCUACUCGAAUCAUCUGUGAAGUAAGAACAUAACGAUAUUCACUGCAUGCCUCAGCACUCAUUGGACUACACACAUCAAAAUGUGUUACUUCCAACAAGUUGCUAUCUUGUUCCAUCUUACUAAAACCGAGGCUUUUCAGUCAUCUUGCCCAUGUGGUAUGAUUUGCAUAUCUCAAGUGAUUCAAAAUCAAGUGAGUCCAAACGAUCCAUCUGCAUGGAGUUUCUUCAUGCGUAUACACCAAUAGACAUGGUUCGCAUGUCUCAAACUUUUCAAAAACGAGUGAGUCCAAAGAUCCAUCAACAUGGAGCUUCUUCAUGCAUUUUAUACCAUUAUGACUUACAUGGCAGUGCCACAAGUAAGUGGUACUAUCAUUACUAUCUUAUAUCUUUUGGCAUGAAAAUGUGUAUCACUACGAUCGAGAUUCAAUAAACCAUUCCUUUAGGUGCAAGACCAUUGAAGGUUUUAUUCAAAUGAAUAGAGUAACCAUUAUUCUCCUUAAAUGAAUAACCGUAUUGCGAUAGACAUAAUCCAAUCAUGUCUAUGCUCAACGCAAACACCAAACGACAAUUAUUCAGGUUUAAUACUAAUCUUGAUGGUAGAGGGAGCGUGCGAUGUUUGAUCACAUCAAACUUGGAAACACUUCCAACACAUAUCGUCAGCUCACCUUUAGCUAGUCUCCGUUUAUUCCGUAGCUCUUUUAUUUCGAGUUACUAACACUUAGCAACCGAACCGGUAUCUUAUACCCUGGUGCUACUAGGAGUACUAGUAAAGUACACAUUAACAUAAUGUAUAUCCAAUAUACUUCUAUCGACCUUGCCAGCCUUCUCAUCUACCAAGUAUCUAGGGUAAUUCCGCUCUAGUGACUAUUCCCCUUAUCACAGAAGCACUUAGUCUCUGGUUUGGGUUCAACCUUGGGUUUCUUCACUGGAGCAGCAGCUGAUUUGACGUUUCAUGAAGUAUCCCUUCUUGCCCUUGCCCUUCUUGAAACUAGUGGUUUCACCAACCAUCAACAAUUGAUGCUCCUUCUUAAUUUCUACUUUCGCGGUGUCAAACAUCGUGAAUACCUCAAGGAUCAUCAUAUCUAUCCCUGAUAUGUUAUAGUUCAUCACGAAGCUCUAGCAGCUUGGUGGCAAUGACUUUGGAGAAACAUCACUAUCUCAUCUGGAAGAUCAACUCCCACUCGAUUCAAGUGAUUGUCGCACUCAGACAAUCUGAGCACAAGCUCAACGAUUGAGCUUUUCUCCCUUAGUUUGCAGGCUAAGAAAAUCGUCGGAGAUCUCAUACCUCUUGACGUGGGCACGAGCCUGAAAUCCCAAUUUCAGCCCUUGAAACAUCUCAUAUGUUCCGCGAUGUUUCGGAAACGUCUUUAGUGCCUCAACUCUAAACCGUUUAACUGAACUAUCACGUAGUUAUCAAAACGUGUAUGUCCGAUGUUUGCAACAUCCACAAACGACGUUUGGGGUUCAGCACACUGAGCAGUGCAUUAAGGACAUAAGCUUUCUACUGUCCGCAUAAUUGCUACUAUCAACUUUCAACUAUAUUUUCUCUAGGAACAUAUCUAAAAAGUGGAACUAAAGCGCGAGCUUACGACAUAAUUUGCAAAGAUCUUUUGACUAUGUUCAGGAUAAUUAAGUUCAUCUUAUGAACUCCCACUCAGAUAGACAUCCCUCUGGUCAUUUAAGUGAUUACAUGAUCCGAGUCAACUAGGCCGUGUCCGAUCAUCACGUGAGACGGACUAGUCAUCAUCGGUGAACAUCUUCAUGUUGAUCGUAUCUACUAUACGACUCAUGCUCGACCUUUCGGUCUCCGUGUUCCGAGGCCAUGUCUGUACAUGCUAGGCUCGUCAAGUUAACCCUAAGUGUAUUGCAUGUGUAAAUCUGUCUUACACCCGUUGUAUGUGAACGUAAGGAUCUAUCACACCCGAUCAUCACGUGGUGCUUCGAAACAACGAACUGUAGCAACGGUGCACAGUUAGGGGAGAACACUUCUUGAAAUUGUUGUAAGGGGUCAUCUUAUUUACUACCGUCGUUCUAAGUAAACAAGAUGCAUAAACAUGAUAAACAUCACAUGCAAUCAAAUAGUGACAUGAUAUGGCCAAUAUCAUUUUGCUCCUUUUGAUCUCCAUCUUCGGGGCUCCACGAUCAUCAUCGUCACCGGCAUGACACCAUGAUCUCCAUCAUCAUGAUCUCCAUCAUCGUGUCUUCAUGAAGUUGUCUCGCCAACUAUUACUUCUACUACUAUGGCUACCGGUUAGCAAUAAAGUAAAGUAAUUACAUGGCGUUGUUCAAUGACACGCAGGUCAUACAAUAAAUUUAAGACAACUCCUAUGGCUCCUGCCGGUUGUCAUACUCAUCGACAUGCAAGUCGUGAAUCCUAUUACAAGAACAUGAUCAAUCUCAUACAUCACAUAUAUUCAUCACAUUCUUCUUGGCCAUAUCACAUCACAUAGCAUACCCUGCAAAAACAAGUUAGACGUCCUCUAAUUGUUGUUUGCAUGUUUUACGUGGCUGCUAUGGGUUUCUAGCAAGAACGUUUCUUACCUACGCAAGACCACAACGUGAUAUGUCAAUUGCUAUUUACCCUUCAUAAGGACCCUUUUCAUCGAAUCCAUUCCGACUAAAGUGGGAGAGACUGGCACCCGCUAGCCACCUUAUGCACCAAGUGCAUGUCAGUCGGUGGAACCUGUCUCAUGUAAGAGUACGUGUAAGGUCGGUCCGGGCCACUUCAUCCCACAAUACUGUCGAAACAAGAUUGGACUAGUAACGGUAAGCAUAUUGAACAACAUCAACGCCCACAACUACUUUGUGUUCUACUCGUGCAAAGAAUCUACGCAAUAGACCUAGCUCAUGAUGCCACUGUUGGGGAACGUAGCAAUAAUUCAAAAUUUUCCUACGUGUCACCAAGAUCAAUCUAUGGAGUCAUCUAGCAACGAGGGAGGAGUAGAUCUACGUACCCUUGUAGAUCGCGCACGGAAGCCUUCAAGAGAACGGGGUUGAUGGAAUCGUACUCAUCGUGAUCCAAAUCACCGAUGAUCCUAGCACCGAACGGACGGCACCUCCGUGUUCAACACACGUAUGGAACGGAGACGUCUCCCACGCCUUGAUCCAGCAAGGAGGAGGGAGAGUUUGAUGGGGAUCCAGCAGCACGACGGCGUGGUGGAAGUAGCGGGAUUCCAACAGGGCUUAGCUAAGCGCUGCGGGAGGAGGGAGAUGUGUCACCCGAGGGAGAGGGAGGCGCCAGGCCUUAGGUAUGGUUGCUCCUCCUUUUCCCCACUAUAUAUAGGGCCAAGGGAGAUGGGGUAGGAGCAGCCCUUGCCCCUUCCUCCAAGGAAGGGUGCGGCCAAGGGGGGGAGGAGUCCAUCCUCCUCAAGGCACCUUGGAGGUGCCUUCCCCCUUUAGGACUCUCCCCUUUUUUUCUUUUCUUGGCGCAUGGGCCUCUUGGGGCUGGUGCCCUUGGCCCAUAUAGGCCAAGGUGCACCCCCUACAGCCCAUGUGGCCCCCUGGGGCAGGUGGCCCCACCCGGUGGACCCCCGGGACCCUUCCGGUGGUCCCGGUACAAUACCGGUGACCCCGAAACUUGUCCCGAUGGCUGAAAUAGCACUUCCUAUAUAUAAUUCUUUACCUCCGGACCAUUCCGGAACUCCUCGUGACGUCCGGGAUCUCAUCCGGGACUCCGAACAACUUUCGGGUUACCGCAUACUAAUAUCUCUAUAACCCUAGCGUCACUGAACCUUAAGUGUGUAGACCCUACGGGUUCGGGAGACAUGUAGAGAUGACCGAGAUGACUCUCCGGUCAAUAACCAACAGCGGGAUCUGGAUACCCAUGUUGGCUCCCACAUGUUCCACGAUGAUCUCAUCGGAUGAACCACGAUGUCAAGGACUUAAUCAAUCUUGUAUACAAUUCCCUUUGUCUAACGGUAUUGUACUUGCCCGAGAUUCGAUCGUCGGUAUACCGAUACCUUGUUCAAUCUCGUUACCGGCAAGUCUCUUUACUCGUUCCGUAACACAUCAUCCCGUGAUCAACCCCUUGGUCACAUUGUGCACAUUAUGAUGAUGUCCUACCGAGUGGGCCCAGAGAUACCUCUCCAUUUACAGGGAGUGACAAAUCCCAGUCUCGAUUCGUGCCAACCCAACAGACACUUUCGGAGAUACCUGUAGUGCACCUUUAUAGCCACCCAGUUACGUUGUGACGUUUAGUACACCCAAAGCAUUCCUACGGUAUCCGGGAGUUGCACAAUCUCAUGGUCUAAGGAAAAGAUACUUGACAUUAGAAAAGCUUUAGCAUACGAACUACACGAUCUUUGUGCUAGGCUUAGGAUUGGGUCUUGUCCAUCACAUCAUUCUCCUAAUGAUGUGAUCCCGUUAUCAAUGACAUCCAAUGUCCAUGGUCAGGAAACCGUAACCAUCUAUUGAUCAACGAGCUAGUCAACUAGAGGCUUACUAGGGACAUGGUGUUGUCUAUGUAUCCACACAUGUAUCUGAGUUUCCUUUCAAUACAAUUAUAGCAUGGAUAAUAAACGAUUAUCAUGAACAAGGAAAUAUAAUAAUAACUAAUUUAUUAUUGCCUCUAGGGCAUAUUUCCAAUAGUUGUCUGCCACCAACUCUGAGGUGGAGAGUGCCAUGAACCACAGGCGUCGCCGGACAAUUCUUCGCGAUGCUUGUUUCUCCCAAGAGGCAUUAGAUGCCUUUAAUUCGGGAGAUGCGUACCUCCGUGCCGCUCAAAAUGGUCUAGCCAGAGCCACGGAGCAAUAUGUAAAAGACAUACGGGUAAGAAAAUUUUGGUAAUUAUAUAUAUAUAUAUACCAGUAGCCCCCAAGACUUGAAACAGUUAGAGUAACUGAUUUAAGGAUCAUUUGUUAUGCAGGUUCUUACAGAGAAGAAUAUCAUACUGUCCCAGGAGCUGGAAGAGUGCAAAGCCCAACUGGAGGCCGCACUAGCCGCGGCAGGGGAGCCCAAAGAGACCCCCUCUGGUAAGAUACACUUCGAAAGAUUAGUAUCUUGCGAAGUGCGGCGUGGGUGUAAAUCUGACAAAUCAUAUUGCAGAUGGCGCCGGACUGGAUCUGGAGAGGCAACAACUCUUACGCCGGCUAAAGGCCGGUGAGAGUAUGCUGACAAGUGUGAGGCGGGAGAAGAAUGAUCUUCAGGACGCCAACACCAAGCUGGACGUUGAACUUAAAGAUGUUCGUGGCCAGCUGUCGGACUCCACUAAGGAGAAUCAGCGGCUUCGACGUGGCAUAUUUAGUAAGUGCUUAAGCGAAUCUUUGAAAGAAAAGAGUUCGGCGAGGAAGUUGACUAACAGAGUAAUGUCUGUAGGUAUGCUAACGGGUCGUCCUGCAGAGGAGAUGCCCGGAUAUACGGGUGACGUUCUUCCCGAACUCUCGCAACUGCACGAGCGAGUUCGGCAAGCGAUGCGAGGCGUUGCCCAAGCCUUAUGGCCUUCCCACUCCAUGCCCGAGGGCCUUGGAGAGCUUUCGGAGAAGCUUAAGGGAGCUCGGCGGCGCUUCCGGUUGUGGAAGAUAUCGGCCUGCCGACAAGGCGCUAGGGAGGCCUGGGCCAUGGUGAAGACGCGGUACAUGAAGUCUGACCCAAACCACAUGGCCGAGGUCGGACCUGUGGGGCCUGACGGGAAGGAGAUCCCUGUAAGCUUAGUGUACGGCCAGGUAGAAUUGGCCGCAAAGUAUUCCCAGCAGGACUGUAAGUUAGACAGCCUAUUAGAUGGUAUUGAAGAGGAAUACAAUCAGUCAGAGUGACAAUGUAAUUUUUAAUUGACAUGUGUAAUGCCUUCUAGCCGGAUUGUAGAUUGUUUGUCAUUGCCGACCUUUUCGCUUCAACCUCAGGACCUGACGGUCCGGAGUGUGUCCGAAUACCCUACCGGUUAUGUAAGAACUGGGGUAUGCAUGGAGACCAGGCGUAGGGGUCAUUAGUGCUUUAUCAGACAAGUGCCCAACUAGUUAUGUUAUAUUACAUGGUUAGUAAGAAACAUCUUCCAGAGAUAAUAGUUCCGUUAGGGGUUCCUUUCUCUGGGAGGCAUGCCCUAAAGUGCAUGUCCGGGCUGCAAACGCAGGAAAAUCAUCUGGGGGCAUAUAUAUAAAUAAGUAAAAAAGGUCAUCUUUUAGUUCACCGACCGAAUAUUCCCUUAAGAACUCUAGCUUUCGGCUUCACCCAGUCUGAGGUACACAUCCAGCUGAUCCGGCAGUAACAAUCGCAGAGGUGCUCCCUUUACCACCUAGCCGAACAAUCGGGAACGUAGGGGUAAGCACAGGAGCCAGGCAACCCAGCUUGGCCAAAACUUAAGUCAUAUCGAUGCAUAUAAUGGUGAAGAAAAGGUACAUGCGGAAGUUUGACACAUGUGGUGGGCGUGAAGCCCGAGUAAAUAAGCUUCUGUUAAAGAAGCCCCAGGUUUAGUGAGCGCAAGUAGCACGUCACUUGAGGAGCCUUUAAGGGCUAUAAAAGAAAAGAGGGGAAGGAGAGAAAUGUAAGACAGAAAAUGUAAAAAAUGGACACAGGAAGGAGACAAACACAGAGUCUGGCGCUAGGCAUAGAAUCUUCGGAGACGGGCUGCGUUCCAUGGGUUCGGCUUGAGUUGGUUAUCCGAUGCAUCUCGCAGGCGGUAUGCUCCACCAGUCAGGACUUGGUCGAUUAUGAAGGGACCUUCCCACUUGGGCUUCAGCUUGUCCUUUUUCUUGUCCGGCAGGCGUAGAACUAAUUCGCCAACGUUGUAGUUUUUGUCCCGCACUUCUCUGCUUUGAUAUCUUCGAGCCUGCAGUUGAUAGAAUGCGGAACGGGCUUUCGCCACGUCGCGCUCCUCCUCUAAGGCGUCCAAACUGUCCUGCCGAUCGAGCUCGGCUUCCCUUUCUUCGUACAUGCGCACUCGAGGUGAGUCAUGAAUUAUGUCACAGGGCAAGACUGCCUCUGCGCCGUACACCAUAAAAAAUGGUGUGUAUCCGGUGGUGCGAUUCGGCAUGGUCCGCAGCCCCCAGAGUACGGAGUCGAGCUCCUCUACCCAGUGCGUGUUAGAUUCCUUGAGGGACCGCACUAAUCUGGGUUUGAUGCCGCUCAUGAUGAGACCAUUUGCAUGUUCCACCUGACCGUUAGUUUGUGGGUUAUAGACGGAAGCAUAAUCGAGCUUGAUGCCCAUGUUUUUGCACCAGAGUUUUACCUCAUCGGCCGUAAAGUUCAUGCCGUUAUCGGUGAUGAUGCUGUGGGGGGCGCCAUAAUGGUGUACGACCCCGGAUAUAAAGUCUAUCACAGGUCCGGAUUCGGCCGUCUUAACAGGCUUGGCUUCUAUCCAUUUGGUGAACUUAUCCACCAUGACCAGUAAGUAUUUUUUAUUGUGGGUUCCGCCUUUAAGGGGUCCCACCAUGUCAAGCCCCCAGACCACGAAAGGCCAAGUGAUGGGGAUAGUUUGGAGGGCGGUGGGUGGCAUAUGGCUUUGGUUUGCAAAAAGCUGGCAACCGACGCAUUUUUGGACCAAGUCCUGAGUGUCCGCCCGGGCCGUUGGCCAAUAAAAGCCUGUACGGAAAGCCUUGCUUACAAGGGACCGGGCUGCGGCGUGAUGGCCACCGAGUCCGGCAUGAAUUUCAGCCAGCAAGUUCCGCCCUUCCUCUUCGGAGAUACACCUUUGAAGGACUCCGGUAGUGCUUUUCUUAUAAAGUUCUCCCUCAUGGACUUUAUAGGCUUUAGAUCACCGCAUUAUACAGCGUGCCUCGUUUUGGUCCUCUAGGAGUUCCUGCCUAGUAAGGUAGGCUAGGAAUUGUUCUAUCCACAGGGCGAUAACGGCCAUUAAUACGUGGGCUGAGGUUGUGAUUUCAUUGGCAGAGCCUCCGAUUAUGUCAGAUUGUUCGGCAUCGGACAGUGCGGUUGGGUCCGGGCUAAUAUUGCCAUGUUCCCCUUCCCAUACUACGGAUGGCUUGAACAGCCUUUCCAGGAAGAUGUUGGGGGGGGACGGCAUCGCGUUUUGCGCCGAUGCGUGCCAGGACGUCUGCCGCCUGAUUGUUUUCUCGGGCUAUAUGGUGAAAUUCGAGCCCUCAAACCGAGCUGACAUUUUGAGGACGGCGUUGCAGUAAGCUGCCAUUUUUUGAUCCUUGGCAUCGAAAUCUCCAUUUAUUUGGGAUAUCGCGAGGUUCGAAUCCCCACGCACCUCUAGGCGUUGAAUGCCCAUGGAUACUGCCAUCCGGAGACCAUGUAAAAGGGCCUCAUAUUCGACUGCAUUGUUGGAGUCCGUGUACAUAAUUUGGAGUACAUAUUGAACUGUGUCUCCUGUGGGGGACGUCAAAACGACGCCGGCCCCUAGUCCGGCCAACAUUUUGGAACCGUCGAAGUGCAUGAUCCAGUUUGAAUAUGUGUCGUACUCUUUAGGGAGUUCGGCCUCCGUCCAUUCUGCGACGAAGUCGGCCAAAACUUGCGACUUGAUAGCUCACCGUGGCCUAUAAGUUCAGGUCGCCAAGUCAGCACAGUACUAUGGUACUAUGGUCGCCAAGUCAGCGAAGCGUGUAAGAUCACGACGACCUAUGGCAUUGAGGAUUCCCUUGUCCGUGCAAUUAUUGUAGAAGAUUGAGAUUGCGUCUUCCUUGCGGCAGUCCUUUAUCCUGUUCAUGACCAUCAGGAACCUUGCCCGGUAAUGAUGUACUAUUUCUUCGGGCUUUUGCCUGAUUUGGGAUAGAUCACUUAUGUUCGGGUGGGUGGGUGGAAUUAAAUCCGGAACUUCACCCAAUCUCAGACUCAGAGGCCAAGGAGUUUCCGAACUCUGAAGUUUGGAUUCUUGGAUGUUGUCCAGUGAAUCUAGCCCGUUGCCUGAUUCUAAGUUCAGGUCUUGAGUUACAUCCUCCCCUCCGCGGGUAUCUGGCUUGGAGGGAUCGGGAAUCCGGACGUAGCUAGUCCUUAAGAUAGAUGAAGAUUCGCCGCAUUGUGCCUCUACCACGGCAACGUGAUGGGUGACUUGGGGAGAAUUAAUUUCUCUUAGAUCGGGUAUAAGCCCAACCUGGUCAUAAUCCGUAGUGACCCCCAAGGCGGCGAUGCGAUCCAAGAGCUCGUUUACAGAAGAGAGCUCCAUUGGAUCUAACUGCUCGACGAGUUCCGAGCUGGCGUGAAGAUUGCUUUUGAUGACCCGAGAGGUCACCGUCGGCGCAACGGCCGAACGGGCGGUCAUGAGAAAACCGCCUAGCCGGAGAGUUUGGCCGACAGCCAAGGCUCCCUUAGUAACGGCGCCGUUUUUAAAGACGGGAAGAGGCAUCCUUCCUGAUUGCGACGGCACAGAGGAACUCUCAAUGAAAGCACCAAUGUCGGUGUCAAAACCGGCGGAUCUCGGGUAGGGGGUCACGAACUAUGCGUCUAGGCCGGAUGGUAACAGGAGGCAAGGAACACGAUGUUUUACCCAGGUUUGGGCCCUCUUGAUGGAGGUAAAACCCUACGUCCUGCUUGAUUAAUAUUGAUGAUAUGGGUAGUAUAAGAGUAGAUCUACCACGAGAUCAAGGAGGCUAAACCCUAGAAGCUAGCCUAUGGUAUGAUUGUUGUAUGAUGAAGUUGUCCUACGGACUAAAACCCUCCGGUUUAUAUAGACACCGGAGAGGGUUAGGGUUACACAAAGUUGGUUACAAUAGUAGGAGAUCUUGAAUAUCCGCAUCUCCAAGCUUGCCUUCCACGCCAAGGAAAGUCCCAUCCGGACACGGGACGAAGUCUUCAAUCUUGUAUCUUCAUAGUCCUGGAGUCCGGCUGAAGGUAUAGUCCGGCUACCCGGACACCCCCUAAUACAGGACUCCCUCAAGUGCGCUCCCCAAAAACCUGAUCUCCCCUCUCCCGUAUAGGAUUACGAGAGGCGGGGUUCCGGAGGCCUGUUGUCCCUUCUCCCGGUGCACGCCGAAAGGAGGGAUGGAGAAGACUUUCUUGGCGGUGCAAUGAUCUGGAACGGUGGUGAGAAACCAUACGAAACGGCGGCGGCUAGGGUAGAUGUCUGCCUGACUAUAUAUAGUGUGGGUCAGGCAAGUCGUGGGAGUAAACCCCACGUUCGAGUCGUCACGAUCCAAAAGAAUUGGAAAUGGUUCAGUAAUUAACGCGCCCGUUAAUUAUUUAUUAAUGAAUCGUUAAUUUUUUCCAAGCAGCAAAAAUAUAGACAACGUGCAUAGCUCUGUCCUUGGCUCGGCUCAAUCCCGUAACCCGCGGCGCGUCGUGACGAGGCGUGGCGUGGCGUGGCGAGGCGAGUGAGGAGGAGGAGCACGCGUGUAGGUCUCCUCUUCUCAUGCUCAUACAAGUGGUAGAAGAGCUCACCUUAUAAAGAGGUGCAACUCUCUCUCAACUUAUGAGGUGGGACUAAACUUUAGCCUCACUCACUCCACUCACAUGUGUGCAUGAAUGGGCCAAGAGAAUUUUAGUUGGGCUUUGGGCCAAAGGCCUACUAGCAAAAUUCCAAGAAUCCCCCACAAAGUCUCAUUGGCACAUCUCAUCAUUUAGUUCCAAAACAUUGUUAUAUACCGGUUCUUAAUGGAGAAUGUGAAGUUGAACUUCCACUUAGAGAUUUAUGCUACACUAGAUCACAACUUGAAUAGUGGACUAUGCCUUGAACUACAAGUUUUCUGUGAGACUAGUUUCACGCAAAUUCUUGACCGAUAUUGGGCUGCCGCAAGGCUUCCCUGCGGGUGGAGCGUAUACGUCGUACUCCAGGGCCUUUUCAUGAAUUUAUUAGAGAACACCCAAUUCUCACAGACUGCGACAUUAACAGUCAAAUUCAUAUAGGUGUGUUCCUUAGAAGAUGUUCUGCAGGACACCAUCUCUGCUUACCCGAAUAAGCCACUUGAAACACAUUAAGAUAAGUAUCAACCUGCCAUGCAGAUCAGGAGAGUAUUGCAUCUUCACGGAGUGGGAUAGUUAAUAUAGGGAUACUCUCCUCCCAGCUGACCAACAGCUUGUCUCCCACUUCUACUUCACGGGAUCUCCGAUCACAUAGAGUGGGUUACCACUAUGGACAACUCAUGCGGUGGGUCUCAAACCAAUCUCCAUCGAUGCAUUAUCUAUCACAUUACGUGAUAGACCCUUUGUGAAGGGAUCUGUCAAGUUUUUCGACAUUUGGAUAUAAUCCAACGUAAUAACUCCGGAGUUCCUCAAUUUUCUGAUAGAUUUUAGUCUCCUCUUCACAUGUCUUGAGGACUUCAUAUUGCCCUUCGAACUGUUUAUCUUGACGAUCACAGUUUGAUUAUCACAGUUCAUCAGGAUAGGGGGUAUUGGUUUUUCAACCAUAGGUAAGUCCAUCAAGAGUUCACGAAGCCACUCUGCUUCAACAGUGGGAGUGUCUAAUGUUGUGAGUUCUGCUUCCAUAGUUGACCUCGUUAAGAUGGUCUGCUUGCAAGACUUCCAGGAAAUAGCGCCACCACCAAGUGUAAAAACAUAACCACUUGUGACCUUAAUCUCAUCAGCAUCAGAUAUCUAGUUUGAGUCACUAUAACCCUCCAGUACCCUUGGAUACCCGGUGUAGUGAAUCCCAUAGCUCGCGGUGCCUUUCAAAUAGCGCAUAACUCUCUCAAGCGCAUGCCAAUGAUCAUCUCCCGGUUUUGACACAAACCAACUCAGCUUGCUCACAGCAAAAGAGAUGUCAGGCCUCGUGGCAUUCGCCAAAUACAUAAGCGAGCCAAUAAUCUGAGAAUACCUCAGUUGAUCUCUAGCAAUCCGUCGGGUUCUUUCGAAGCAACACACUAGCAUCAUAUGGAGUUGGAGAAGGCGUGCAGUCGCUAUACCCAAAACGACUCAAGACCUUUUCCACAUAGUGAGACUGAAGCAGUGUGAUCCCACCAUUCUCAUCUCUCAAGAGCUUGAUGUUUAAGAUAACAUCAACUACUCCUAGAUCCUUCAUCUCAAAACAGCGAGAUAAGAAAUCCUUAACCUCCUUGAUUAAAUCAAGUUUGGUUCCAACCAUAGCGAUGGUAAACACUUGUCGCCAUCGUUUACUACAAAGCCGGCAGCAGUUAAUGUUCUUUCGAACUUCUCAUGCCACUCCUUAGGAGCUUUUUUAAGGCCAUAUAAAGACUUCAAUAACUUGCACACCUUUCCUUCCUGACCAGGUACUACAAAACCAUCUGGCUGAUCCAUGUAAAUUUCCUCCUUCAACUCUCCAUUGAGGAAAGUUGUCUUAACAUCCAUUUGAUGAACGAGAAGACCAUGUGAGGCAACCAGUGAUAGUAGCACCCGAACUGUGGUCAGUCUAGCCACGAGUGAGUAAGUAUCAAAGAAGUCUUCACCUUCUUUCUGGGUAUAACCCUUGGCCACAAGUCGUGCCUCGUACUUUUCAAUCAUACCAUCAGGUCUAAGCUUCUUCUUGAACACCCACUUACAUCCUACAAGUUUGCACCCAUACAAAUAGUAAGUGAUCUCCCAGGUACCGUUAGAUAAGAUGGAAUCCAUGUCGCUACGAACAACUUCCUUCCAGUAGUCAGCAUCAGGAGAUGCAUAUGCUUCUGAAAUAGUCCUGGGUGUGUCAUCCACAAGGUACACAAUGAAAUCAUCACCAAAAGACUUUGCAGUCCUCUGUCUCUUUCUCCUCACAGGAGUUCCAUUGUCACCCUCAACGGGAUUCUCAACGUGUUCCAUCACGAUGGUGGGUUCAGGAAUUACAUCGAAUUCCUCACUAGAUGGAGUAGGUAUCUCCUGAUUUGAUGAACUCGACAUAUCCUUCAUAGGAAAUAUGUCCUCAAAGAAAGUUGCAUCAUUCGACUCCAUAAUCGUACCAACAUGCAUGUCAGAUACCUCUGAUUUUAUUUUCAAAAAUCUAUAGCCAAUGCUACGAAAAGCAUAGCCCAGAAGAACAUAAUCCACGGUUUUUGGUCCAAACUUGCGCUUCUUGGGAAUUGGUAUAUUGACUUUCUCCAAACAACCCCAAGUAUGUAGGUAAGAGAGUUUCGAUCUUUUCCUUUCCAUUCCUCAAAUGGAGUCAUGGUCUUAUGCUUUGUGGGAACUUGGUUUAGGACAUGACAUGCAGUCAUUAGCGCCUCCCCCCACCAUUCCUUGGAGAGACCCGAUGUGUCUAACAUGGUGUUAACCAUAUCAGUUAGAGUUUGGUUCUUUCUUUCGGCUACCCCAUUUGACUGAGGUGAGUAGGGAGGCGGCAUAUCAUGGAUUAUACCAUGUUCCGCCCAAAACAGAUCAAAUUCAUUGGAAAAAUACUCUCCACCACGAUCGGACCUAAGACGUUUAAUUUUCCGAUCAAGUUGGUUCUCUACCUCAGCUUUAUAGUUUUUGAAGAAAUUUAAAGCCUCAUCUUUUGAUUUUAGAAGAUACACAUAACAAUAUCUAGUGGAGUCAUCAAUCAACGUCAUGAAGUAUCUCUUUCCACCUUUUGUCAACACGCCAUUCAUCACAAGGAUCAGAAUGUAUAAGCUCUAGUGGCGCCAAGUCUCUUGCCUCUACAGUCUUAUGGGACUUGCGAGGUUGCUUAGCUUGCACACAUACUUGGCACUUAAAGCCUUUGACAGUACAGAUUUUCGAAAUUAAAUUCAUAUUGGCUAGCCGCAUCAUGCAACCAAAGUUAAUGUGACAAAGUCAUGAAUGCCAAAUAUUAGACUCAUUGUUGUGGCAAACAUUAUUAAUAACUUUAGUGCAAAUAUCUGACAAAGACAGGCGGAACAAGCCUCUGCUCUCAUAGCCUUUUACAAAAAAUUGUCCAUACUUAGAAAUUACAACUUUAUUGGAUUCGAAAACCAACUUAAAACCAUCUCGACAUAAACGGGAACCGCUAACGGGAUUUUUAUUUAUGGACGGCACAUGAUGAACGUUCUUUAGAUGCACAAUCUUCCCCGAAGUAAAUUUCAGAUCGACCGUACCAACACCUCGAACGAUGGCAUGUGACCCGUUCCCCAUCAGCACGGGUGAAGUCCAUGUUGCCUAGUAAGAAGAAAACAUGGAGGCAUCAGCACAAACAUGUACAUUGGCACCGGUGUCAAUUAACCAAUCAGAGAAUUGAAAUACUGAAAGGAUGUAGGAAAAAUACCGUACCCUAAUUCAUUCAUAUCAAUAUCACCGAUGACAACAUUAGUGGACUUGCCGCUCUUCUCAUGUUCACGCUCCUCAAAGCGGUUAGGACACUUCGAAGCCCAGUGAUUAGGAUCAUCGCAGACAUGGCAAAGUCCCUUCCCCUUCUUAUGAGAAUUCUUCUUGAAGUUGGUAGAAUGUGAUGGCUUGUUCUUUGUAUCAAACUUGCCUUUGCCCUGAGUUUCGUUCUUGUUGUUUUUGAACUUGUUGGGCUGGGAGUUCUUCUUCUGUACCAUGUGAGCACUAGAAGCUCCCUUAGCAACUCGAGCACGUGUGUCCUUUGCUCUCGCCUUCUCUUCGACAUCAAGAGUACCAAUGAGAUCCGCAAUGGAAAACUCCUAUCUCUUGUGUUUCAGGGAAGUAGCGAAAUUGUUCCACGAAGGUGCAAGUUUUGCAAUGAUGCCUCCGGCAACAAAUUUGUCCGGCAACACACACUUGAAGUACUCAAGUUCUUUUGCGAGCGACUGUAUCUCAUGAGCCUGUUGUACAACAUAGCGCUCAUCAGUCAUCUUGUAGUCAUAGAAUUGCUCCAUGACGUCCAACUCGCUGCCGGCGUCCGAGGCACCAAAUUUGGCCUCGAGCGCAGCCCACAUGUCCUUGCCGUUUUCAAACGACAUAUACGAAUCCACAAUGGAAUCAUCCAGAACACUCAGAAGAGCGCCUUUAAAGAGAGUAUCGACCUUCUCAAAAGCUUCCAGUUGUGCUGGAUUAUGAUUGCCCUCAGGCUUGCCCUUGGUGGCGUCAUAGCAGCCCAUGGUCUGAAACCAGACUGCUCUCAUGCGCCACCUCUUAUAUUGCACCCCCUUAAAGGCAGGCGGCUUCAGAUGCGCAGCGAAACCACUCGGAGUAAAUUGCCUAUAAUCAGGUUUUUGGAUUGUUGGAAAUAUGAGCAAAUUACUACGAGAUUUAAUCCGAAUAAAUAGAAGAUAAAUCAUGACUACAGUAGCAGAGAUUAAACUAAUCAUGUGAACUAGCAUAGCAGAUGAACAGAUCACAUCUAGGGCACAUACUAGAAACAUGAAUUCUACCACGAUCUCGAACAGGAAGGAUAGAAUCACAUACGGUGCAGCGGGAGCAGCACCGUCGGCGUUGACGUUGUCGUCCAUGUCGUCGAGGAUGAGGUUGCCGAGGUCGGGGAAGAAGUCGUCGUUCGUGAAGUCGUCGCUGCCAGCAGUCGCGCGAGUGCGCUCCCCAAAAACCUGAUCGCCCCUCUCCCAUACAGGAUUACGGGAGGCGGGGUUCCGGAGGCCUGCUGUCCCUUCUCCCGGUUCACGCCGAAAGGAGGAAUGGAGAAGACUUGCUUGGCGGCACAAUGAUCUGGAACGGUGGUGAGAAACCAUACGAAACGGCGGCGGCUAGGGUAGACCGUCUGCCUGACUAUAUAUAGUGCGGGCCGGGCAGGUCGUGGGAGUAAACCCCAUGUCCGAGUCGUCACGAUCCAAAAGAAUUGGAAACGGUUCAGUAAUUAACGCGCCCGUUAAUUAUUAAUUAAUGACUCAUUAUUUUUUCCCGAGCAGCAAAAAUAUAGACAAUGUGCAUAGCUCUAUCCUCGGCUCGGCUCAAUCCCGCAACCCGCGGCGCGUCGUGACGAGGCAAGCGAGGAGGAGGAGCGCGCGUGUAGGUCUCCUCUUCUCAUGCUCAUACAAGUGGUAAAAGAGAUCACCUUAUAAAGAGGUGCAACUCUCUCUCAACUUAUGAGGUGGGACUAAACUUUAGCCUCACUCACUCCACUCACAUGUGUGCAUGAAUGGGCCAAGAGAAUUUUAGAAUUUUAGUUGGGCUUUGGGCCAAAGACCUACUAGCAAAAUUCCAAUAAGAUGGAAACUCACCGGUCCACAAUGCAAUCUGGUCCUCCAGCCAACGGAUCCAGACCUGAUUGCAGUUCCUUAAUCGCUGCAUGCAACCGGCGCUUCCACACGCGGCGGCGGCAGCACCAGAGGGACCAGAUCUGGCUGCUCCAAGCUGUGCGCAAAAUCCUCCCGGAAUGGGAACCUUGAAAACCACAACAGAGUAAGCAGUAGCAGCAUGCAAUCAGGGUAUCCAUCGAAGCACGAAAACCCAUAGGCGAGCAUGCGGUAUAGAAACUCACCGGUCACCCCAUCGGCAUCCAUCGCCGCUCCGCUGCAAGAAGUCGCUUCCGCCGUGCCCGCCGUUACCUCGAGGUCCCUCCCCACCAUGGCCAGGUCUCACUGCUCGUCAAACCACCCUUCCCGAUCCCUCGACAUGUUUCCCACAGCGGACCCCAUAAGAAGGCGUGCUGUAUAAUCACGGCUCAGUUUGGCCCCUCACGUCCUGGACUAGCAUCGUAUAAUUUCUGAGCCACGGCUCAUGACACCCACAAUCACGGAUCGACGCCCCUAGCUACACAACUGGCCCACCCGUGUACACUGUGUCAUACAGUAUAUAGCCCAUAUCCUUAUUUUCCCACGGUUCACUUAUGUCGCAUCUGACACACUUUUCACCAUCCCAAUGCACCAGCCAAAGGCUCAGAUUUCAGGUGCAGCUGAGCCCAAGCACCAAAUCGACUUAUCCCAGAUAUGUUCAACAUUUCUUUUCCGGUGCAGGAAUGAUAUUAUUGCCUGAGUCCUCGAAACAUGUUAUUUAGUUUCUUUAACUAAUAUAAAGAUGCAAAUUGUACAUGAAUUGUGCUGCUCUUGCUUUCAUGAUAAUGUGCUUCAACACUUAUUAUUGUUCCCAAAUACUGAUUUCCUGUCAUCUUUUGUAGAAUGUCCAAGAGACGAAUGAUAUGGGCACAGAAAGUGCAGCUGCUCUCAAAGCACAUGCAAGAUGUUACAGUAGUAUUCCCUAUGUUUAUUUGUAUAUUGUGCCCAUGAAAUUUGGGGUCGUUUCUAAUGUUUGACCAAAUAGACAAUCAAACAAUAUAAAUGUUUGGUGAAAUAUGACCCACAUUAAAUUGAAUAGAAGCCUUCUGAUGUGAAAUUCAAAUCCAAGCUAGACUAAGACUUGCCAAGACUGUGUGUGAGAGCUAAUGAUCAUUCUGUUAAGACUUUCUAUUGCUUGCACCAUUUAUAUCUCUAUAGAUAGCAUAGCCAAGGCCAUCAAUGGACUUCAAAGUCCCUAUUUCUUGUACAAUUCCUGUUUUUGUAAACAAAGCGGCUAAAUCCACUGAUAUAAAAUAACUCGUUUCCACGAGGCUGUGAAAGUGUGCUCAUGUGGCUGUGAAAGUGGGCUCAUAUUGUAAAAUACACAGGCUGAAAAAAGGGAUGCAGCCUUGGACCUGGUAUAUAUUAUUGUAUCGAACAAUUUUCAAAGUGUUCACAGUUUAAAAUGGGACUGAUCAUCAAAAACAAAAUUUAAAAUGAGACUCCACGUCUAAGUGGUUGCUAAAACCUAUUUUUAUCGAGAAAGACAAACCUUUUCAAAACACUCAUUAAACCUAUUUUUAUCGAGAAAGACAAACCUUUUCAAAACACUCAUUGUACAGAUUUUGAAAGACAACUCUAUCUUAAUUUUUCAUACCAUGGCAUGUUUUUUUGUUUUAAAUUAGACUCUAUACUAUUAAGUUACACUACUAAGGAAAACCUUAUACACAAAAUCUUAGCAGCAGCGUGGUUUAAAAACAAACGCUACUGCUAAUUAGCAGUAGCGAGCUCCUGGAAACCGCGCUACUAACAUUUCGGUAGCAGUAGCACCCUAGGUGAAACAAAUGCUACUACUAUAAUUGCCACGGCAUUGCCUCCAGGCUAGAUAUAGUAGUAGCGCCCUUCUCCUGGACGCGCUACUGUUAAAGUACUUAGUAGCAGUGUUUUCCUUCAAAACUCGUUGUUGCUAAGUAUCACCGCAACUAAUUAAGUUUAGUCCCAUACUGCUAAGCGAACAAGAUGUUUACCACCUUAAAUAUGUUACUUCUCAAACUAUCUCGAGCACUUGGUCUUCAUUGAACUAUAUGUGUAGGAUUUGUGGCUGCGAUAUGAAUCUUCACCAGUACCUAUACAGGUACUGUGAGGAUUCAUGUUGACUAUUUAGAUUCUACACAAAAAGAUCAAUGAUGACCAAUGUAUAUUUUUGAUGUUAUUACAUGCUUAGACUUAUAGCAUUUUUCCAGGACAAAGCGCUACUGAUAUUGGGAUGAACAAAAGAAAUAAUUGCUUCCUUUAACAAUACCAUUUUUCUCUAAAACGCGCUAUAGAUAAAUUAGCUAUAGCGUGUUUCCUUAAGAGCGCUACUGCUAGUUCGACUUUACCAUCCGUGCGGCCUCAAAAUUUUGCUAAAUCCCCCCUCCCCUGUUCCCCUACUCCUCUGUCGCCGCCGCCCGAGCCCGAUCCUACCCUCACCACCGCCGCCCGAGGCCGCCCUCAACCUCACCGCCGCCGCUCUCGACCUCACCGCCGCCGCCUGAGCCCGCCCAGGACCGCCGCCUCCCGAUCCCGAUCCCGAGCCCGCCCUCGCCGCCCCUACCUCCAUCGUCGAGCACCUCCCUGCCACCGUCUCUCCCCNNNNNNNNNNNNNNNNNNNNNNNNNNNNNNNNNNNNNNNNNNNNNNNNNNNNNNNNNNNNNNNNNNNNNNNNNNNNNNNNNNNNNNNNNNNNNNNNNNNNNNNNNNNNNNNNNNNNNNNNNNNNNNNNNNNNNNNNNNNNNNNNNNNNNNNNNNNNNNNNNNNNNNNNNNNNNNNNNNNNNNNNNNNNNNNNNNNNNNNNNNNNNNNNNNNNNNNNNNNNNNNNNNNNNNNNNNNNNNNNNNNNNNNNNNNNNNNNNNNNNNNNNNNNNNNNNNNNNNNNNNNNNNNNNNNNNNNNNNNNNNNNNNNNNNNNNNNNNNNNNNNNNNNNNNNNNNNNNNNNNNNNNNNNNNNNNNNNNNNNNNNNNNNNNNNNNNNNNNNNNNNNNNNNNNNNNNNNNNNNNNNNNNNNNNNNNNNNNNNNNNNNNNNNNNNNNNNUAGUAGUAGUAGAUGUUAAUUUAGGGUUCAUAGAUAAUGAUUUUUAAUAGUAGUAGAUGUUAAUUAUCAGUAGUGAUGGUACUAGUUAACUAGGGCAGUAUGGUUAAUAGUAGAUGUUUUUUUACUAUUGUAUAAUGUAGUUUUUUAUUGUUUUUAGUAAGUGUUUAAAAUAAUUAGUAAGUAAAUUAAUAAACUAGUUGAACUAGUUUAGUUUUAAUUGAACUAGUUUAAUAAGUAAAUUAAUAAACUAGUUGAAUUAAUAGAACUAAUGUAUUUUAAGUAAGAAAAUUAAUAUAACUAGUUGAACUACUUUUUUUUAGAAAGAACUAGUUUUUUUCUAUUUAUAGUAAGUUUAUAUUUAGUAAGAACUACUUAAAUUAAUAGAACUAGUUGAACAUGUCAUAUUUGUUGUUAUUUUUUAUUUUAAGCAAUUAUUCUGGAUGUAUUAGUGAUAACUUAUAGGGUUUUGUUUUUACAGAAAUCAAGGAGCCCCUCCAUCAUCCCCGCCGUCGUCCCCGUCACCGAUCCCCUCCGACCUCGAGGUGAGACCAGCCAAAUCUUCAUGUCAAUAUGAGUCCUAUAAGAUAUGAUGUAGACAAAAAUAUGUGUAUAUCUUGUGUUGCUCAAAUAGGAUAUGUGGUUGCCCAAGUGGCCGGUCAUGUUCAGGUUACACCUCCGAGUGGCGCCCUAUGUUUUGCCGGAGUGUUGAUUAAUUUCUGUUCCGGCAAAUUUCAGGCGCUUGAUAUGUCCUUUUUUAGCAAAGGUCAUGCCGGAUUUUUCCAUGAAUUCUGGUAUGACUUGUGCUAGAAUAUGUAGGAAAUAUCGAGUGGCCUGGAUUUUCUCGAAAAAUAAUUAAACGACAUUUCGACAGACCGAUAGUCAACCCGUGAUGAAUAAUAAUGAUCUAAUUUAGGUUUUUUAGUACAUACAUUUAAUUGUACAAGUUUAAUCUUUGAAUUACGAACGUAGGAAAUGUCGUACUCGGAUGACGAAAGUCUCCCAGGAGAGUGCGACUGGUGCCACGACGGCCGAGGUAUGUGCGACAGGUUCCUUGACCUAGACGAAGAUCGACGCUUCAGCAUUAAGCUCGAGGAGAACUUUGAUGUUGAAACGGUACGCAACAACGACAAGUGUUUUUUUGUAAUUAAGCACGACUUUAACUAUUUCAACGUGUACUUUUCAUCUUUGGCAAUUCGACUAGCUUAUCCCAUGCUAUGCAAGACGAUAUGUCUUGGAGAGGAUGGGUUUUGAAGACUAUGAAAGUUUCGAAACAAAGAAAAUACACCUAAGGACCCAUCAUGAUAUGGAUUUUGAAGUAAAUCUAUACAAUUCUCAGAGCGUAACCCAUUUUAGUUGCCAAAAUCGGUAAGCACUUUGCAAGAUGUAUGGUUUUUAUGAGGGUAUGCUUGUCACCAUGGAUCUUGGUGAUCCUGACAUCGAGCAAAACAAUAUGGACAUUUGGGUCCUUGUUGAUACGCUUCCGAUUCUACCGCUAUGUGAGUUUCUCAAACAUAGUUAUUAACUAAUUUAUAUUGUUUAUUUCAAAAUAGUUGAUAGCUUGUUUUCAUUCUUCAAAGAAUGUGCGUGAAAGAACCACGAAUUAUGAUGUAAUAACUCAUAAUGAUGUAAAAACUAGUCCACGGUUCUUUCACCCAGUGAUGUAAUAACUCAUUAUGAUGUAAAAACAAUCUCUAAACUGCUGAUGUAUGAAAACGUGUAUAGAGGUGUAUGAAUACAACAUGAAAUAAAAAAGAAAUAAAAUACGGAAUAAUAGUAGUAGCACGGGCUGGGAGAAGCGCUACUAGUAAUUACCAGUAGGGAUGUUUGGAGAAAGCGCUACUACUAAGUCGGUAUAGCAGUAGCGUGGGUUAACCCUCGCUACUGGUAACCUUUAGCUGUAGCGUCGUACCAGUAGCGCCCCUACCCGCGCUACUGAUAGGCCUAAAACUCACGUUGCUGCUAGGCUUUUCCCUAGUAGUGUUAAGCCAUGUAUAUUCAUAUCAUUAUACACACCAUUCCACCAUGUUUCCUAUUAGAUGGGAUUAAACCAUGGAGUUGUUUUCAUCACCGACAUGGUUUUAGCGUGCCUUUGCGCCAUUUGGCGCAACAGGUCCACUAGUACAACAAAUAGUCAACAAUACGACAAACAUACAACAUCAAACUAGUUUUGUCGCUCAUUCCAUGACCACCACUCCUUGAUUAGAUCAUUUUGAAGGUCAUCAUGCGUUUCGGCACGUAGAAUGGCAUGAUAUGAGGAAACAAAGUGGGCCACCUUCACAGCCCUCCUUUGCAGUCGCACGGGAUGUCCCAUUAACUCAUACCGAGGAUAGUCUAAAUUUUGUCCAUGCUCAUUCUCGAUGAUCAUGUUAUGCAUGAUCACACAACCGUUCAUGAUGUACCAAAGGAUCUUUUGAUCCCAAAAUCUAGUCGGUCCUCUCACAAUAGAAAAUUGGGCUUGCAAAAUUCCAAAAGCUCUCUCCACAUCUUUCCUAACCGCCGCCUGAGCAUUGUGGAAAUAAAGAUUUUUCUUACCUUGUGGUGCCGUCAACGGCUUCACAAAUGUUUGCCACCUUGGGUAGAUGCCAUUCGCAAGAUAGUAGCCAUAGUGGUAUGUAUGGUCAUUUGCUACAAACUCCACCAGUAGAGUUUCACCAGUUGUAAUCCUAUUCAUGAGUGGUGACCAUUGAAGAACAUUGAUGUCAUUGCAAGAUCCAUUCCGAAAAAAGCACGACAAAUCCAAGUCUCAUGAUCGGCCACCGCUUUAAGGAUUAUAGUGGAACCCUUUUUCUGGUCGUGGAAUUGUCCAUGCCAUGCCUUAGGACAGUUCUUCCAACUCCAAUGCAUGCAAUCUAUUGGGCCAAGCAUACCAGAGAACCCCGCGAGCUUUGUUCAUCUCUGAAAGCCUUGCGGUGUCUUCGUCAUUGCGAGCUCUCAAAUUUCCGGACCAAACACUUGCACAAUUCCUACUGCGAAGUGCUUGACACAUAUGAUGGCUUGACUCUCACCCAUGGCCAAGUGGUCAUCAACUAGAUUCGCCGAAAUACCGUAUGCCAACAUACGCAAAGCGGCAGUCACCUUUUGAAAGGUGCUAUGCCUGAGUUCUCCGGCCGCAUUCCUCCUUUGCUGAAAAAAACCGAUCAUGGCUCGCCAACUUAUCCGCAAUGUGUUUGAACAACUCGAUGCUCAUCCUAAAAUGGCGCCGAAAGUAGGACUCGGGGUACGUGGGAUUCUCCACAAAAUAGUUCCUCGUCAAUCUGUUGUGGGCAUCGAUCCUUUCCCUCCACAUUUCUGACGACCGAAAACCGAACCACCGUGCUUCAGCUUUUUAUUGACGUGCAUAGCUAGGAUCAUUGCGGCGUCCUUCUCCUCUUAAAGAUCAAAUUCUUCAUUGAAAGAAUCGUAGGACAAACUCAUCUACAAACUUGAAUUUAAACUAAUUUGAAACUACAAACAACAUGCACCAAAUUCAUCUACAAAUAUAAAGUUAGAAUCAAUAUAUACCUUGCAAGUGUCUUGGCAAACACCUUUUCCGCCGGGCGCUAUUCGCCUGAGGAACAAUCCGCUCGAGCGGCGGCGGCGAGGAGAGAAGGUGGGGAAGCAGGGGAAGCGACAGCGCUGGGGAUAGGCGGGGGGAGAUUCGGCGGGUCGCAGGAACGAAUAGGGGAAGGUGUGGGCAGAUGCAUCAGCGCCUGGAGGUUUCACCCGAUGGUUGGUGAGAUUCGCGCGCACGAUUGGCUUGUCCAGCACGCGCGAGUGGGCGCACCAAAUAAGCAACGCGCGAUGCAGUUUUCCCCAGCAUGUUGAGCCUUGUUUACCGCGCGGGGGGUUAUAGCGCGGCUGCUGGAGCGCUACUUUCAGUCUCGCGCGCGUUAUAUAGCCGUUUUAACCAGUGUGCGGCUUAUUUAGCGCGUUUGUUUUUAGGGGUAUUUAGCAUGUCUGUUGAAAAUGCUCUAAGGUCGACAGUCAUCAGCGAGUUUCUCUGGGCAGGCCGUAAGGCGGCUAAUGGAGGCCAAUGCCGUGUCGAUUGGGCUAAGAUUAACCGGCCUAUCUCUCUUGGAGGCCUGGGCGUGCAGGACCUGCACCGGGCUGGGAUCGCCCUUUGAUCCCCUCACGCCCUUGGGGCAUCUACAUCUUCCCACGGACGCCCAGGCGGAAAACCCUAUUUGACACUCUAUGCGUCAAACGGUCGACCGACACAAGGGGCGCGAUAAAGUGGGAACUUUCUAGAAGAGAUAUUUGAUUUUCUAAAAUUUCGUUAGAUUUUUUUGAAUAUUUAGCGUGUCAAAAAUUAAUUAGUUCCUUAAAAAAUCGUGUUUGAAUUUUCAUAACACGUUCGAUCUUAUAAUACUGCCUUAUUAAAGCCCCGAGCUAAGAAUUUAACGGCAAGCCACUUCAGGUGCGCUGGUUACUAGCCCACGUGUAGUAUGUGCGGUCGUGUGUUCGAACCUGACCAACUGCUUGCGAUCGCACGCAGAUAACCAGUCCACUGCACUAGUUUUGUUGAAGCUAAAGCAGCACAUAACUUUAAGAACUAACUUCAACCGGCCUACUGUAGCGAAUUGGAAUAUUGUUUUUUUUUCUCUCGAAUACGCCUAGAAGGCCUAUCAUUGCAUUGAUAGGGGAAAGAAAGUACAGGCAAGUCACCACAAUGACGUACACAAGAUUGGCGACGCUAUGGUGACGCGAGGAGCAGAAGACAGAGGGUUGCUCAGCCCUCAAAGAUCAAGUUCAGGUUACGAAUAGGAAUAUUGUAGCAAACCAGAAAUAGUUAUUGUAGUGAACCGGCGACCACAUGCACAUACGCCCGAGCUUUUACCACCGCAACCAGCUCACAUCAGUGACAUAUUUGUAGCCUGACAUUUUAAGAAACGAGCGACAGGGAUAAAACUUAAAAAGGAGAUCGAAAAAGCAGUACGUGAACAGGAGGGGUCGAACACACGACCUCCAUCGAGUCAACCGCGUCGCUAGCUACUGUAGUUUCUGCAAUUUGUUCUCUAUAAAUAACAACCCAAUUUAAAUAAUUAUAAGCCACAGAUUUUUUUGAAAAUCUGAACCUGAUUUUACUUUUGACAAAGUACAUGUUUUUUGGAAUUUAUAAAUGCAAACAUUUUCGGAAUUUAUGAAAUACAUUUUUAAAGUAUCAAAUAAAAAUUAUAAUUAUAAUUUUUUUGAAAUUUCUGAACCAAAUUCGAAAUAAGUAACAUUUUUCAAAAAAUGAAUAAUAGCUUGAAAAAAAGAAAAUAAAAGUGAACAGGAAGAAUUUUGAAACUACUUUUGCACGCGAACAAAUUUUGAAACUAGUUUUGAAUUUUUUUGUGUAAUGAGAUUUUUUUUGAAUUUGACAACAUUUUUUGGAAACAUGAACAAAACUUGAAUAUUUUGAAAAAAAGGAAGAAAAGGAAAAUAAAUGAAANNNNNNNNNNNNNNNNNNNNNNNNNNNNNNNNNNNNNNNNNNNNNNNNNNNNNNNNNNNNNNNNNNNNNNNNNNNNNNNNNNNNNNNNNNNNNNNNNNNNNNNNNNNNNNNNNNNNNNNNNNNNNNNNNNNNNNNNNNNNNNNNNNNNNNNNNNNNNNNNNNNNNNNNNNNNNNNNNNNNNNNNNNNNNNNNNNNNNNNNNNNNNNNNNNNNNNNNNNNNNNNNNNNNNNNNNNNNNNNNNNNNNNNNNNNNNNNNNNNNNNNNNNNNNNNNNNNNNNNNNNNNNNNNNNNNNNGGCGUAUGCCAAGGCCUCGCCGACCAGGCUUGGGUACGCGACAUCCACGGCGGACUUGGCCCAGCCGCGUUGGUCCAGUAGGUUGAGCUAUGGAGGCGGGUUCGCAACAUUCAUCUGACCGAGGACCCGGAUACCUUACGAUGGUGCUGGACCGAUUCUGGACGCUACACAGCUAGGUCAUGUUGUCCUCCUCUCUUUCGAGGAACAAUUCAAGACCGACAUUGGUGCAUCACUUGGAGAAUUUGGGCGCCGCUCCACAUCAAAGUCUUCACAUGGCUUGCCGUGUUGGACUGCAGAUCGCCUCGCCUAACGCGGUCUCCCGCCUAACGAUAAAUGCAAGAACAGUAGAGCAGGCCAUGAUUGGAGAAAGAUGGAUUCAUGAUGUGCCACCACAAUACUCCAUGGGUGCCCUGCUGCAAACUGUGCAUCUUAGGCACGCAAUUGCCGCGAUGCAAAGAGACGAGCUGGCUAAUGACAAGUUCAUUUGGCCUCAUGACAAAUCAGGAGAAUACACUGCAAAAUCCACCUAUAAGCAACUAUGCCAAGGUGGGAUCCGUGCCCCGAUGGCUGAGGCGAUUUGGAGGAGUUGGGCACCCCUGAAAUGUAAGAUCUUUGCUUGGUUGGCCGAACAGCAUCGGUUGUGGACCUCUGAUAGACGUGUGCGACACGGCUUAUAGGACAAGACGUCCGAGUGCUUUCUUUGUUCGCAGGAGGAGGAUAACGUUGAGCACAUCUUGGUGCAAUGCGUAUAUGCGAGGGAAGUAUGGCAUACUUGCUUCGACACACUACGACUAAACAGCCAUGCACCGGAAGCACAAGACACCUGGGAGGCUUGGUGGGGCACUGCAAGAACAAAUUACCAGGGGAAGGACAGGAGAGGGUUCGAUUCUUUUGUCAUUGGAGUGGCUUGGUCUUUAUAGAAGCAAAGGAACGCGAGAGUGUUCAACCGGCCAAAGCAACGCAAAGGACCAAGGGGACUAGUCAGCUGGAUCUUAGAGGACAUUUUCGAUUGGAGACAAGCGGGUGUAGGAGUAGGAGGACUAGAUAGAUUUGUGAGACAUUGAACAAUGUGUAAUGGUUGGUGUGGGAGUUCCGGAGGUUGAUGUUCGCAUCGACCAACGGUUUCUUGUAAAUAUUUUACUCUUCUAUAAAAAUAUGGUACGCCAUUGGCGUACUCUCGAAAAAAAUAAGGAUCGAUGCAUCCUCUGCGAUCAAGUACCCGAAGAUUUUCAGCAUCUCCUCGCUGGGUGUUCCUUCUCUCGCCAUGUCUGGCAUGGGGUCUUGUCUUGGUGUCGUUCUACGGCAUCGCUACCCGCCCCAACAUUGAGUCUCUCUGAGUGGUGGGAGGAUACAUGCCGUGAUGCUCCCAAUGCCCACCGGCGCGGCCUCUCUUCUCUCAUCAUGUUGACGGCCUGGAGCAUAUGAUGUCACCGCAACGUGUGCAUCUUCAAUGACUUCCGGCCCUCCGCUGCUCGCGUUUUGCAGGACAUCAAGGACCUUGCACGGCUCUCGGCGCAGGCUGGUGGGAUUGGCACUCAUACUUCCCGACAUGUAGUCCCUCCAAGUCUUUUGGGGCUAAGCAUCCCCUUUCCAUGCUUUGGAUACCGUGAUACGCCUUUGCGCUUGUAACAUGUGAUGUAUCGUCACUAUAUACUCUCUCUUUCUUCUAUCGAUGGAAAGAUACGCAAUUUUUGCAUACUCGCGAAAAAACCAGUAGGGGUAAGCUUCCUUUUCAAACAUUUAAGUUUCUGAAAAACAACAAGAGAACGAUAAAUAAACAUCAAGCUACAGUUGAUGCUCACGUAAGUACGAUUCAUCAGUAGAUCUUCAUGAAGUUAGUCUGAAAAUACUGAACAGCUCAAACAAGGCUAUGUAAAACUGUAAUCAGGAUCUUUGCCACCGUAAAAAUGGUCAAAUUAGUAUGACUUGCAGUUCAAAUUACUGUGACCUUGUAGGAAUGACAGGAAUUGAGAAGGCUAUGGUUCAAAAUUGCUGUAGCAUGGAGAAUUACUGUAAAAUAAUACAGAAAAACACUGUAAAAAACUUGGAGACUAUGGUCCAAAAUUACAUAACUUUGCAGGAGAAUUACAUUUCUUACACUGAAUAAUACAGAAAAACACUAUAACUUGGAGCAGCAAACAGCUUAGAGGCUAUGUUUCAAAAUUACUAUAACUUGGCAACAGAAUUACAUUUCUUGUUGAGCUGUAAAUAAUACAGAAGAGGCACUGUAAACAAACAACAAUGGUGUAGUAUCGAACUGCAAUCUGCAAACAACUUGGAGACUAUUUCAAAGUUACUAUAACUUUGCAUGAGAAUUGCAUUUCUUGUUACACUAAAAAUAAUACAGAAGAUGCACUGUAAUAAAACAGUAGUUUAGUUCCAACUGGAAGCAGCAACAGACUCAUGUAAAACACUAGGGAAAAAACAACUGAACUAAAGGCUAUGGUUCAAAGUUACUACAGCUUUGCGGGAGAAUUACAUUUUUUUGACACUGUAAAUAAUACACAAAAUGACUGCAAAAUACAAAUAGUUGUUUAGAUCAACUGGGAGCAGCAAACAAAAUUCAGGGGGAAAACAGUCUGGAAGAACUAUGGUUCAAAAAUUACUGUGGCCUUGCUUAGGAACUACAUAUAUUUUACACUGUAAAUGAUACAGAAAAUGCACUGUAACAAAAAGAAAGUUAAACCUUCAAGGAGCAUUGGGAAUUGUAACAAAGAACAGUUAAACCUUGGUGGAAUCUUGAAAAUUACAGUAGCCUUGCUGGAAAAAUAUAAUAAUGUGAUAGUGUAAUUAUGCUUAAUGUAAGAAAAGUAGUUAUUAAACAACCAAUUAGAACAUGCACAGGUAAUGCAAGCAAUAACCACUACACACAAAACAAAGUAACACUAAGUAACCACCUAAUUUAUCAAGGAUUAAAGAGAUACUCUCAGACUGAAAUUCCUUCAUCAGGUACAACAAAAUAACUUUAAAAUGGUAUGGAUAUUGACCUAAACAUAACUUACAGAGACAGCUCACCAAAUUUACAGCAGAAUAACUGAAACAAAUUGCAGAGCAGUAACCACUAAAAAUUUCAAGACAUGGAGCAAGAUAUAAGAAAUAAUAACCUUAACAACGACGAUAUAUUGCAGACAAUUCACUAUAAUUGCCCCAACAUUACACAUGCUCAAGCACAAAGUCUGAUGCAAAACACAAGGAUGGGUACAGAAAAACGCAACAACAACGUAGAAUUGGAGGACCAUAGCUCACAGAUUCAACAAAGCACAUCCACCAGCGUGCUCACAGAAUUGGAGGGCCAUAGCUGAUAGCUCACAGAUCUAGAAAAUAAAGUAAUGGAUGAAGAAGAAGAACAACAUCAGAUCGCUGGAAGAGAAAAUUCCAAUCACCAGCGAGCAGAGCACAGAUAUCUUCAAGCAAGGGAUCCUUCCAGCAGAUUCACAAAACAAGGCUUAAACAUGAACAACCUAGGAUAGGACAGGUGAGAGCUCACAAAAUCCACAAAUCACAUCCGUCGAGAUCUAGAAAAAAGACUAAGAAAUGGAGGGGGGAGAACAACAGAUGCAAACCACUUGGAAGAGCUCCUCUAACCACCAGUGGGCCCAUAGCAGCAACCGAAUGCUCAAGCAACGAGAGAAGGAGAACUCUGAAUGGAAAUCACUACUGUCUCUCUCUCCCCUACUUCUGCUUGAACAAUCACUGAUGAAAGGGGGGAACGGGCACCGACAUGGGUUAACGGGCAGACUACAAACAAAACAGCGCGCGCUAUAAACAAAUAACCAAAGGAGCACGCACAAAUCGCUGCACAAUGAUCAGACGGACACAAAAUCCGACUGAAACGAAUUGUUUUCAGUCGGAUGAAAAUUAGCAAAACCGUAUGUUAAACCUAUACGCUAUGUGAUGUGUACUGAAAAAAAAUGUGACAAGCAACUAAGAAGUAUUCAAAAAAUGAAGUGUAUACUUGUUUGAUUCAACAGUAUGAGAGCAAUACUUGUACAUUUGUGUCGCAACAAGCAGGACAUUUGAUCAACUGUACACCUACAUGGCUCGAGCUUCUUAAAUCUGUAGCAGUUAAGAUCAUCAGGGCAAAGCGGUUGCGCUACCUCAAGCACAUGGAGCGGCUACAGCAGCCUGCAAGCAAAUUCCCGGCAAACGUCGAGGACAUACGCCCGUCCAUGACCAGACGAAGGAAGCUUUUCAAGGUUAAAAUUGCUUCCCAACCGAUGCC
RNAcentral lists this long non-coding RNA (72612 nucleotides) under Triticum aestivum (bread wheat). Its description in RNAcentral is "long non-coding RNA (TAES_LNC026310)". The record is from RNAcentral. Lineage: Eukaryota; Viridiplantae; Streptophyta; Magnoliopsida; Poales; Poaceae.